Molecule: long non-coding RNA, 68903 nt
Filed under: Gossypium barbadense (sea-island cotton)
Lineage: Eukaryota; Viridiplantae; Streptophyta; Magnoliopsida; Malvales; Malvaceae
Description: long non-coding RNA (GBAR_LNC020399)
Source: RNAcentral
GAUUAGAUAAACUGCAUCAAGAAGAAAAAUGGUAUGUACAUAUCAUCAUCUCUUAUGUAUAAUAAUUAAAAAUAUGAAAUAAUAAAAUGAUAUUCAAAAUUUAGUUUUUCUAGAAAAAUAUUCAAAGUUCUUAUUUUUUUAGAUUUUAAUUAUAAUUUUUAUGGUAAUUAAAUAUAUAUUCUUCUAUUCUGUUAUUUUAUCAAUAUUAUAUCAAUCUCCAACUCUAUCUACAACUCUAUGGGUGAAAAAAGAAAAGAAAAAAGAACGUAAAAAUUAUUAUUUUAUAGAAAUAAAUACCUCAAGUGAUGUUGGCUCCUAUUAUUUUCGGAUCAAUUAAAUGUAGAUGGAGGGAAUGUGGCGCACUUUAUAGAAAUCCUCUCCUUCUCUUCCAUCUAUCACUUUAAUCCUUUCUUUCAAUGACCAAGAUACUCCUAAUAAAUUCAAUUCUUGGAGAGUAGUAAUGUACCUCAAUCCUUCUGGAAGCAUCCUUAUACUCUCAACAUUGACCAACUUCAAUUCUCGAAGGCAUGGCAUUGCGCCUUCUUCUAUUUCCCACUCCUUCAACUCAAGGAACGAAGACAUUCGAAGAUAAUCAAGUUUAGGAAAUCCAUUUGCAGAGCACACCAUUUUACUCCCAAUAUAUGCUUGCUCCAUAUAGAGAAUCCUCAAAUGACAUAGCUUUUCUAAUACCGCCAUUGGAUCUUGUCUCAGCCAACAGUGAGACAAAGUUAAUUUGACAAUAUUUAAUGGAAGAAAUUUCAAAACAUGACCGUUCCGAUGUGGCCCAUCUUGUAUCCGCCCCAUCAAUUUCAGUUUGGAGAGGUGAUAAUAUUGAGAAAGGGGUUCUAAGUCUAGGUGUGAGCCAUCAAAAAAACUUAAGGACACUGACCUAAGGCGUUGCAAUUUGGCUAGCAAGAUUAGGGUAGGCUUCAUAUAUUUUCCUCUGGUAAAUACUAUUCCUAAACUCUGAAUAUUAGUCCACCUAAGCGCCGCAUUAAUUUCAGCCGCCUUCUCAUCCACCACUAUGUACUUCUAAGUUUCAAUAUUUUUUGAAGUGAACCCUUGCCGCCAACGAAGUCUAUGGGGGAAUCUCCUAUCCACUUUUAUUACAAUAUGCCUUAAACGUUCUAACUUAAACACACCAUCUGGAAUUACAAUGUCAUACCAAAUAUUGAUGUAUAAAGUGUACAGAUUCUUCAACCUGCCAAUAGAUCGCGGCAAAAUCAUUUUGCUAUAGCAUUCUAACUUCAAGUAUCUUAAAUAUAGGAGAUUACCAAUUUCAGCUGACACAUGCCAGUCUUCAUAUAUUUUACCGAUUACAGCUGACACAUAUAUGCAUUUUCCUUUUUGAAGAGUCAACACCCUCAAAAAUUUGAAGCUUUUGUAUUUUGAAAUGCACAAUUCUACCAAUUUCUCAGAAUGAGAAAACAACAAAGAGCGUAAUUUUGGAUGCUUUCCCUUCAAAUAAACUUUCGAUUUACUAGGAUGAAUAGAAAUUCUUCGUAGCAUAGAUUCUGCCAAUGUCACUUCAAGUUCAUGCUGUGGUUGUUGAAUAAUUUCCAAGAACUUCUCCUCUCUUGCUUUCUUCGUGCACAAGUCCCUCAAGAGAUCAUGCACUCGACAUGUCUCCACAUUUGUUCCUGUAUAGUCUCGCCUGCUAAGUUGAACCAAGCUCCGAUCUAUAAGCUCUUCUAGGAAUAUUUCGCCUAAAUCCUCCAUGAAGAAUUCUUCGUUUUCCGGAAUGAAACCUUCAGCGAUCCAUAAACGAAUGAGUUCUUUUUUCGGUAUCUCCCAAUCUUCUGGAUAAUGACUAAGAUACAAAAAGCAUGGUUUUAAAGGAUAAGGCAAGUCAUUGUAGCUUGAAACCAAAAUUCGGUUCACUGCACCAUAUUGACGAUCUUGGUGUGGGAGCUCAUUUAAGUGUCCAUGGAUGUUUUUAUGAACCAUCUCCCAUUGAGCCACUGACUGUUUUGUUGCCAGCAAGCAACCCAACACAACAAUUGCUAAAGGCAAGCCUCCACAUUUUUUCACCAUCUCUUUUCCAAGCUUCACAAAUUCUUCUGAGCAGCAUUGAGAACCCAUUUUGCUCCGUGGGAAUGCUUUCUUACACAAAAGAUUCCAACUUUCAUCAUCCGUAAGAACUGAGAGCUCCAUGGGAGUGUUGCAAGAAUCGGCUCGUGAAGCCACAUUCCUGUUGCGUGUUGUGAACAAUAUUUGGCUUCCCUUUCUUCCUCGUGGAAAAGCAGGUUUAAGAAUAUCCCAAUCCUCGCUUCUCCAAAUAUCAUCGAUGUUGGAAUAUUUUCAAAUAUUUAUAGUAUCCCAAUAAUUAUAAAUGAAUGAGUGUAAUUAAUCAAAAGAUAAAACUUUUGGUCAUUGGUCAAAAGUUAUAUCAUUUGAUUUUUUAAAAAAAGAAUUAUAACUAUUCAAAAAAUAUUAUUUGAAUAGUUACAAAAUUAAAUGAAUAAUUAUUAUUAUUUAUUUAUUCAUAAAGACACCUAUUGAAAGAUGUCUCUAUGAAGAGACAUGAAAAUUCCUAUAAAUAGGAAUGAGAUUUCAUUUGGAAAUCAUAUCAACAAAUUCUAAUAUUAUUUCUUCUCUUCCUUCAUUUUCUAAUAUUAUUAGAUUAUUCUAUAAAGUAUUGCUGCAGAAAUCCUUUGUAGAAAUUGAAUUUUUGUUAUACAUUACUCAGUGCAUAGUGGACUAUUCUCGUCAGUGCAAAACACAAAUAGUCAUUGGCUUCAUUGUAUCCUCGAGGUUAAUUUGCUUGGAACUCGUUUGCACACUGAAGAUAAGUGGGGGCGAAUAUAACCUUAAAGAUAGUGGCUUGAUACACGCCUUGGAGCCUGUCCUAUUUCUUCUUUUUCUUUUCGAGUUCCGAUCGUGUGUUCGAGUUUUUUCCUUACCGGAGUUUUGUACUAACAAUUUUAAGGUUAUAUUUCAUGAUGACUACCACAACACAUGAAAGUGGAACACUAAGGGAGUUGGCUUCCAACUUUGUUAAACUUGAUCGUUUUGAUGGUGGCAAUUUUCGACGAUGGCAGAAAAAGAUGCACUUUUUGUUAUCAACUUUGAAGAUUGCUUAUGUUUUGGAUACUCCAAGACCUGAAGAGAAUGAAAAUGAAUCUGUUGCUGCAACCCGAGAAAGACAAAAAUGGGACAAUGCUGAUUACAUGUGCAUGGGCCACAUAUUGAAUGGUUUAUCUGAUGGUUUGUUCGACACCUACCAAAACGACGUCACCGCUAAAGAAUUAUGGGACAAAUUGGAGGCAAGAUACAUGACCGAAGAUGUUACAAGUAAGAAAUUUCUUGUCAGUCGUUUCAAUAAUUAUCAAAUGGUUGAUGGUCGUUCUGUUAUGGAACAAUUUCGUGAUAUUGAAAAGAUGCUGAAUCAAUUUAAGCAAUAUGAUAUGAAAAUGAAUGAAAUGAUUGUGGUAUCCUCCAUAAUAGACAAACUUCCUCCAUCUUGGAAAGACUUUAAAAGAAGUCUAAAACAUAAGAAAGAGGAAAUAUCUCUUGAGGCUUUGGCAAAUCAUCUUCGUAUUGAAGAAGAGUAUCGAAAACAAGAUCAGAACCUAAAUUCUGAAAAUACCAAAGUACAUGUUACGGAGGAAGUACAGACUACUAAACCAUUCAAGAGAAAGUUCAAUCAGACUGAUAGGGCACCUAAGUUCAAAAAGAAACAAAAGGGCUCAUGCUAUCAUUGUGGAAAGCCGGGACAUUUCAAGAAUGAAUGUCGAUGUUUAAAGAAGAAAUCAUCUUCUAAGGCUGAUAAUAACGAAAAGUUCGUUGCAAUGAUAUCUGAAAUUAAUAUGGCACAAGAUGAUAAUACAUGGUGGAUUGAUACCGGAGCAACCAAACAUGUGUGCAAAGACAAAAGCAUGUUCACAAAGUUCACACAAUGUGAAAAUGACAAUGUCUUGUACAUGGGAAAUUCUUCCACCGCAACAAUUAAAGGCAAAGGGUCUGUUGAACUACAAUUCACUUCUGGAAAGGUUUUAACCUUAAAUGAUGUAUAUUAUGUACCAGAAGUUAGGAAAAAUUUAGUGUCUGGAAGUCUGUUGAAUAAGUUUGGUUUCAAACUUGUUUUUGAGGCAGAUAAGUUUAUUUUGUCUAAGGGAGGAAUUUUUGUGGGAAAAGGGUAUAUGUAUGAAAGCAUGUUCAAACUUAAUAUUAUUAAUAAGAAUAAAAAUACUAUUUCUGCUUAUAUGGUUGAAUCAUUUUGUUUGUGGCAUUAUAGAUUAGGUCAUUUGAAUUAUAGAAAAUUGAAUGACAUGCAUAAAUUAGAUUUAAUUCCUGUUUUUAAUAAUAAUAUUGAAAAAUGCAAUACCUGUAUGUUGACUAAAAUUACAAGAAAUCCUUUCCCUAAGGUUAAAAGGAAAACAAAAUUGCUUGAUUUGAUACAUAGUGAUUUAUGUGACUUGCAUAAUACUCCUACAUUAGGUGGAAAGAAAUAUUUUGUUACUUUUAUUGAUGAUUGUUCUAGAUAUUGUUAUGUAUAUUUAUUGCAUUCAAAAGAUGAAGCGCUUGAUAAAUUUAAAGUUUAUAAAUCUGAAGUUGAACUUUAGUGUGAAUCAUUUAUCAAGUGCUUAAGAUCGGAUAGAGGUGGAGAAUACUAUAAUCCAAGUUAUUUUGAACUCACUGGAAUUGUCCAUCAAGUUUUAGCCCCUUACACACCACAACAAAAUGGUGUAGCUAAAAGGAAAAAUAGAGUCUUGAUUGAAAUGGUAAAUUCAAUGUUAUCAUAUUCAGGUCUUGGACAGGGUUUUUGGGGAGAAGCUGUUCUAACAGCUUGUCAUAUAUUGAAUAGAGUUCCUAAUAAGGAAACUAAAAUAACCCCCUAUGAACAAUGGAAGAAAAGGAAACCAAACCUUAAUUAUUUAAAGGUUUGGGGUUGUAGAGCUAUUGUAAAAGUUCCAACACCUAAACGUAAAAAGUUAGGUGAAAGAGGAAUUGAAUGCAUAUUUAUAGGUUAUGCACAUAAUAGCAAGGCAUAUAGGUUCAUAGUAAUUGAACCAAAUGAUUCAAUUUCAAUUAAUACGGUUAUUGAAUCAAGAGAUGCUAAUUUUGAUGAAAAUAGAUUUAAUUCUAUAUCAAGACAAUUACAACCACAACAAUUGAUUCAUUCUUCAAAUGAGAAUGAGAUUCCAUUGAAACAAAUUGAUAAUAAUGAUGAAUCUUGUCAAGAAUUAAGAAGAAGUAAGAGGAUUAAAAAGGUCAAAGAUUUUGGACCAGAUUUCAUUAUGUUUCUUGUAGAAGGAAAAGGUGAAAGUAUAUGCAAUAAGAUACCUUAUUGUUAUAAUACCGAAUCUGAUCCUAUUACAUUUGAAGAAGCAGUGAAAUCUCAAGACUCUGCUUUUUGGAAAGAAGCAAUAAAUGAUGAAAUGGAUUCAAUAAUGGGAAAUCAAACUUGGAUCUUAGUUGAUCUUCCACCAGGUUCCAAACCAAUAGGUUGUAAAUGGAUCUUCAAAAAGAAAAUGAAGGUCGAUGGAACCAUUGAUAAAUUUAAAGCAAGGUUGGUAGCAAAAGGUUUUACACAAAGACAAGGUAUUGAUUACUUUGAUACCUAUGCUCCAGUAGCAGGAAUUGCUACAAUUAGACUAUUAAUAUCACUUACCUCUAUAUAUAAUUUGGUUGUUCACCAAAUGGAUGUUAAAACUGCAUUUUUAAAUGGUGAAUUGGAAGAGGAAGUGUACAUGGAGCAACCAGAAGGAUUUGUUGUUCCAGGACAAGAGCAUAAGGUAUGUAAGCUUGUUAAAUCUUUAUAUGGGCUUAAACAAGCACCAAAACAAUGGCACCAAAAGUUUGACAAGGUUGUUUUAGCUAAUGGCUAUAAAAUAAAUGAAUCCGAUAAGUGCAUAUAUAGUAAAUUUGAUAAUGGAAAGGGUGUUAUAAUUUGCUUAUAUGUAGAUGACAUGCUCAUUUUUGGCACGGAUUUGGAACAAAUAGAAAACACAAAGAAAUUCUUGUCAAACAACUUUGCUAUGAAGGAUAUGGGUGUAGCAGAUGUUAUUCUUGGGAUUAAAAUAACCCGAGAUGAAAGCACUAUAGCUUUAUCACAAUCACAUUACAUUGAAAAUGUGCUUAAAAAGUUUGAUCUUUUCAACUGUAUACCAGCAUCUACACCCAUGGAUCCUCAAUUAAAAUUAGUAUCUAAUGCUGGUAGGAAAAUUGAUCAAUUGAAAUAUGCAAGUCUAAUUGGUUGUCUUAUGUACAUAAUGACUUGUACAAGACCAGAUAUUGCAUAUGCUAUUGGAAAAUUGAGUAGAUACACAAAUAAUCCAAGUAGUUUGCAUUGGCAAGCUUUAAAUAGAGUACUUAGGUACUUAAAGAAAACUAUUAACUAUGGAUUGUGUUAUAAUGGAUAUCCUCCAGUUUUAGAAGGGUAUUCAGAUGCUAGUUGGAUUACAAGUUUGGAAGAUCAUGCAUCUACUAGUGGGUGGAUCUUCAUUCUUGGUGGAGGAGUCAUUUCUUGGGGUUCCAAGAAACAAACAUGUAUUACUGAUUCCACCAUGGCAGCAGAAUUUAUUGCAUUAGCCGCUGCAUCUAAAGAAGCAGAAUGGUUAAGAAAUUUACUUUAUGAUGUACCUUUAUGGCUUAAGCCAAUUUCACCUAUUUCUAUUCGUUGUGAUAGUGAGGCUACUCUAGCAAAGGCAUAUAGCCAAGUAUAUAAUGGAAAGUCUAGACAUAUUGGAUUAAGACAUAGUUAUGUCCGACAAUUAAUUUCUGAUGGAGUGAUCACUAUUAAUUAUGUGAGGUCAAGUGAAAAUUUGGCAGAUCCUUUGACAAAAAGUCUUGCUAGAGAUGCAGUAAAAAGGACCUCAAAAGGGAUGGGACUCAAGCCUAUUAAUUAGAGUCACCCAUGAUGGAAACUCGACUCAACGCUUGGUAUAACGUCAAGUCUUGAGUUCAAUGAGACAAAGUACAUCAUUAGUAUGUGACUGUUAGCACUAUAAAUAAAUCCAUCCUAAGAUUAAAGUGCUAGGUACCCGUAAUGAUAAGGGAAGGAUGAGUAAUGUACUCUUAAUGGACCCAUAACAUAAAUAUGUUAGAGUGUUAUAAUUACGGGAACACUUUUGAUGGGAUCUACCUAUGUGAGUGGAAGUGUGGCCGCUUCUAGGAGCUUAAGGGCUUGGCUCUGACAACACUCAUGAAAAGAGGACAUAGACACAUGGCUAUAAUAGUGUCCCUAGAUACUAUGCAUUGACUGAUGUUGAAAUUAUUGUGUGAGAUGUGUUCAGUUAAUCAAAUGGAAUAGUUGGUUCAAAGCUUAGUCUACCAUACAAUUUCGAUUAACUUUAACAUGUUUUCACUAAGUGAAGGUUCAAUCGUAAGACACCUUUAUUUAUGCAAAUUGAUUUCCAAGAAUAUCAAAAUCUAAAUAUUUUGAAAAUGGGGGGAGAUUGUUGGAAUAUUUUCAAAUAUUUAUAGUAUCCCAAUAACUAUAAAUGAAUGGGUGUAAUUAAUCAAAAGAUAAAACUUUUGGUCAUUGGUCAAAAGUUAUAUCAUUUGAUUUUUUAAAAAAGAAUUAUAACUAUUCAAAAAAUAUUAUUUGAAUAGUUACAAAAUUAAAAAAAUAAUAAUUAUUAUUUAUUUAUUCAUAAAGACACCUAUUGAAAGAUGUCUCUAUGAAGAGACAUGAAAAUUCCUAUAAAUAGGAAUGGGAUUUCAUUUGGAAAUCAUAUCAACAAAUUCUAAUAUUAUUUCUUCUCUUCCUUCAUUUUCUAAUAUUAUUAGAUUAUUCUAUAAAGUAUUGCUGCAGAAAUCCUUUGUAGAAAUUGAGUUUUUGUUAUACAUUACUCAGUGCAUAGUGGACUAUUCUCGUCAGUGCAAAACGCAAAUAGUCAUUGGCUUCAUUGUAUCCUCGAGGUUAAUUUGCUUGGAACUCGUUUGCACACUGAAGAUAAGUGGGGGCGAAUAUAACCUUAAAGAUAGUGGCUUGAUACAUGCCUUGGAGCCUGUCCUAUUUCUUCUUUUUCUUUUCGAGUUCCGAUCGUGUGUUCGAGUUUUUUCCUUACCGGAGUUUUGUACUAACAAUCGAGGACCACCAAAUACCGCUUUUCUUUCAAAGCAUCAAAAAGCGUUCUCAUCAGCUCAAUCUCGUCCAUUUUCUCAAUUUUCUCUCUUUCAUUAUUAGAAGGAGAGAGAACUUUCUUCAAGACACUAAGCAAAACUUCUCUCGGCUUACAUUGUUGAGAGAUAGAAAACCAAGCCAAGAAAUCAAAAUGGCGUCUCACAUCAACAUGAUUAUAUACUUUUCUGGCAAGAGUUGUCUUACCGAGGCCCCCCAUGCCGACUAUGGAAACCACGGCGUGGGGCCUAUCUUCUUCAGUCAUCAACAUGGUGAUGACAUCCUUGGUGCUAACCUCCAAGCGAACAACGUCCUCUUCCUCAACAUGGGAGAAUGCCCUUCUUAACUGUCGUUGCACGUUGAAAACUGAGCUAGAACCUUCUCCAUCACGGGAUAUCUCAUAAGCUGGAAGAUUCUUGGAAAUGUUUUGGAGCUUGGUCUGGAUUGCUUUGACCUGCACCCCGAUUUUGUGCAGAUGAUAAGGUUUGGUGCAAAUGGAGGUGAAUCUCUUGACGAUUCCUUGAAAGCCUCCUUGAUGUGCACGUUCAAGGAUGAAGGAGUCGAUAAGAUCUUCAGCAUCGUAAGCAAGAUCUCUGAUUUCGGAUACCCGAUUACGGAGACGCGUGUCUUGUUCCGCCUUCCCAUUAACGUCCUCCAAGAAACACUGCAUUCUCUUUAGUUCAGUGUUUAGGCUCUCAACUUCUUCCUUGACAUCUUUGAGGAAAACUGCUUCACGGAUGAGUAAUUCUGAAAUUCUUUCAACAGCCAAGGACACAAUAGCCUCUGCCAUUUCACUAGCUGAUGAAAAAAAAAAGUCUGAAUUUCUUUUUUUUUUUUUUUGGUGUGGAUGUCAAACAGAUUGAUAAUCAGUCUGUGUGUAUUUUCUGAUUCCCUUUUUUUUUUGUUAUUGUUCUAUCAAAAGUAAAUGAUAGUUAAAAUUGAACAAGAAGAAAGCAAAAGCAGAUUCUUCUUUCCUCUUUAGUUAAAUUCUUUGCUUAAGAAAAUGGGGAUUCUUUUUCUAGCUUUCACUACUCCUUGAUUCCUUGCUUAGCAAUGAAAUACCCCCAAAUUAAUUCCCAAAGCUUUACUAACCUGAAACUGAAGCAUCCCUCAUACCCCUUCAAAUAUCUUACAAACAUAUGAUAUUAUAAUUAUAAAUAACUUUAAAUUAAAUUAAAAAUAAAAAUCCAUUACACCCAUUUUUUAAAAUUUGUAUUUCGUUAACCAUUCCAAUACUUUAAUUUAUCAAUUUAUCAAUAUUCCCCGUAAACUUUAGUUUGGAAAGACUGACGCUAAAAAAAAGUUCUAAAUUUAGAUCUAAUGGUUUCAGUCUUAUUAAGUAUAGCAUUAAAAUUAGAAAUAAUUUAAGUUUUUAAAUUCGAGUCUAUAGUUCAUAGUAAUUAUGAAUAAUUAAUAAAAUUAUUAAUAACUAAUAGAUAGUUAAUAAAUAGUGAUAAAUACUAAAACUAUACAUGAACUAUGGGUUAAUGUGUAAUUAUAUACAUAAAAUUUUGAUCUGAUCCAAUUCUUGUCAAGUAUUAAAAUAAUUAUUGAUAUAACAUCAUUUUUUAUUUAUAAAUUGAUAUAUUUACUUUUUUAAAUGUAUAAGAUUAAAACAAAAUUAAACUUUCAAGUAUACAUUUAAACCACAAUUAGAAUUUCACGUGUAUAAUUGCAUCAAAUUAAAAUUCAUUAAUAAUUAUAUAUUAAAUACUAAUUUAUAUAUAAUUUGAUAUUUAUCCCUAAUAGACAAUACGGUAAUAAUUAAACAAAAUUUCUUAUCAUUUGAGCCCACUUAGCUCAAAGGUUGAAGCAUCAUGUAUAAAAAAAGACAACUUAGAUGCUAAUAUUAAAUUCUUUUAAUUAAUAUUUUAUUAAUUAAAGUAUUUAAAUUUUUUUUAUUUUUUGGUAAAUUUAAACAUUUGAGACAAAAAUGAUGUAUUAAUUAAUUAAACUAUUCAAAAUUCCAUAGCAUUGUUUAAAUGUUUUCUUUUAUUUUCUCAGCGAAAGUCCAGUUUAUUAAGCAUAUAUAAAAAAAACAAUGUUCUAAAACUGUAAUAGAAAACCGUAAUGAAAUCAGCGUCAUGCAUUGAAGCAAGUAAUUUUGUACACUCUGAUCCACCGGCAAAUUCGGCGACAUAUUCACUGACGAGGCACGAGAAUGGCACUUGUCGACGGCAGCAUUGACUAAGUCUAGUGGGGUCUUGGUAGUAGAGUUGCCGUGGGGAGAUUGGUUGAGAAUGCAGAAAGCUGGUUUACUGGACUAGGAAGUACACCAUGAAUUUGCUAGAACUAGCGGUGCAACUAAAACUGUCAUCAAGCUUAUUCAUUUUCAAACUGACAAAAUUACAUUGCAACUAAAACUGAAAACUUGUUAAUGUAGCAUGCACAAGAGCUGCAACAUGCAAAUAGACUGCAUGCACUUCAACAAAAAGGGAGGAGAAAUGAAAACAGAAGGAAAGGGGUAUUCUUCAUUGUUUCUGAGUGGUAAAAGUGAGGAUGAAGAUGAUUAGAUUUUAUAAGGAUGAAGAUGAUUAGAUUUUAUAGAGAGCACUAGUAGUCUAGCAAACAAACUAAAUUUGGGGUAAUCGAGAGCCGAGCUUGAAUAAUAGUAAGUUCAAUUUGAAGGGGCUCAAUACUCAGUUCAAACUUGAUUGUACAUUAAUUUUUAAAUUUAAGUUUUGACUUGAAAUAUAAUCAAGCUAUUUGAGCUUAAGUUUAAUUGAACUCGUUCGUAUUUAAACUCGAGCUCACUUGCACUAUUCAUACGUAAGGUUUUUAGGUGCGAAUGCAUACAUCACGAAAUAGAAGUUACCAAAUGGGAUGUGUGUUGUUGAUUGGCAGCUGACUUAAAAGAUAUUUUGAAUAACACUCGUUGCAGUGUAGUAAAUUGAGUAACUUAAUGAACAAAAGAGACAAGUUUCUUCUUUAUUAAUGUCAGGCCUUGAUUGGUUUACAUGGUUACUGAAGUCAAAUUUAGCAAGCAUGUUAGUAUCUCAAGGCUGCAACUAUUUUUAAAAAAAGUAAGACUAAGUCCUAGGGAGAUUUGUUAGCUUGUAAGUUGGAGUAGGAGUUGUUAGCUUCUUAGUAGGAGUAACAAUUUGAAUUUUUGUUGAGGUUGUUACUUGAGACUUGUAUAUAAGGGCUGCAUUGGUAAUGAAUUAAAUCAUCCCUUUAUUUCAUCUUUUGUUCUAUACUUCAAUUAAGUCUUUGCUAAACCAACAGUGGUAUCGAGAGCCAUUUUUCUUGAGGGACUUGUGAGAAAAGUUUUGUGAGAGUUCUGAGAGAAAAUUUGAGAGAUACACUUGUGAGGUUUUUGUUGGAACAUUGGCAGCAUGUGUCAACCCGAUUUGCAAGCAGAACCAAGUGAGAUUGAAGCAGAAAAAGAAAAACAAAACAAAGCAAUAAACAAGACUUGAAUACUCAGCAAAUGUAACUGAACAACUUGCAAUUUUCAUUCAAAAUUUGAAAACAUAUAUUGGAGUUAAAAUUUGGCAUAGUUGACAGUUACCUAAUGAUAUAACUGCUCCCACUUAAACUAAACUAAUACAAGCUUAAGUCAAAUACAAAAAUAAGCUGACAUAUCAGCUUUUACAUCAAAAUCCCAUCACUAACAUAAUCCUACUAACUUUGUAAGUAAACUAAAGUUGAACCAAACUAAAUUACAAAAGAACUGAAUAUGCUAAGUUGGUUGCUUCAUUCGGUUCAAAUUUAAUCUUGUGCACCAAGCAAUGUUGCCAAGCUCGAUGACUGCAAUUCAGUUGCUUUGCUGCUGAUCUCGACAGUAACUGGCUGCUGGCUCCAUGUUGCAUUGCAGUCCAGCUCUCAACACUCCUCCUUGGACUGUAUGCAACACAUACCAAUUGUACUUCUCAAUGAUUCAAAUCGAGCAGCUCCUUAGGGCUUGGUUAAUAUGUCAACCAAUUGUUCCCCUGAGCUACAAUGGACAAGGCUGACUUCCCUUGUUUGUUCAGCUUCUCGAACAAAAUGCAACUUAAUCUUAAAGUGCUUAGUUUUACCAUGGAAUACAGGGUUCUUAGCUAUAGCAACUGCUGACUGGUUGUCCACCCAAAUUUCAGUUGCUUCAGCUUGAGUUUCAUUAAGGUCUUGAAGCAAUUUCCUGAGCCAAAUGGCCUGAUUAACUGCAGCUGCAACUGCAAUGUACUCUGCUUCAGCUGUGGACAGAGAACAGUCUGUUGCUUCUUUGAACUCCAGCAAAACAUGCCUGAUCCAAGUGUGAAGAAGUAUCCAGAGGUACUCUUCAUGUCAUCGAGGGAUCCUACCCAGUCACUGUCUGAGUAACCUUCUAGUCUCAGCUCCUUUCCACCUUCAAACAUUACACCAAAGUUUGCUGUGCCUUUGAUGUAUCUAAGAACCCUCUUAGCAGCCUUCAAAUGAGCUUCAUUACAGCAGUGCAUGAACCUCGAUAGCAAACUGACACCAAACAUGAUGUCUGGCCUAGUUGCUGUUAGAUACAACAGACAACCUACUAGGCUUCGAUAGUGCCUCUCAUCAACCCUUUGCUGAUCACCACAGCUGGUCAAUUUUUCACCCUGAGGUAGUGGUGUACUUACAGUUUUACAGUUUUGCAUGCAAAAUUUACCAAGGAUCUUCAAGGCAAAUGUAUGUUGGCUGAUGAAUAUGCCUCGAUCAGAUUGAUGAACUUCCAUACCAAGGAAGUAUGUCAUAAUCCCCAAAUCUGUCAUCUCGAACACUUGCUGCAUUUGAACCUUGAACUCAUCAAUGAGCUCAACUUUGCUCCCUGUCACUAACAAAUCAUCCACAUACAAGGAAACAAUCAGCAAGGUCUCAUGUUCUGACUUCUUAACAUAAAGUGUAGGUUCACUAGGACUUUUCACAAAUCCAAGCUUGGACAAGUAACUAUCAACCCUGUCAUUCCAGGCCCUUGGUGCCUGUUUCAGGCCAUAAAGGGCCUUUCUCAGCUUGUACACUUUGUCUUCAUGUCCAACAACUUUAAAACCUUCUGGUUGCUCAAUGAAGAUCUACUCCUUGAGAAAGCCAUUCAGAAAUGCUGAUUUCACAUCUAAUUGAUGAACCCUCCAAUGUUUCUGAGCAGUUAAGGCAAACAUAAGCUUGAUCAUGUCCAGUCUUGCUACUGGAGCAAAUGUCUCCAAAAAAUCAACUCCAUAUUGCUGACUGUAGCCUUUCACUACAAGCUUGGCCUUAUGCUUAUUCAAAGAGCCAUCAUCAUUGUAUUUGGCUCUAUACACCCACUUAACACCUAUGACUUUUUUGUGUUCUGGUCUGUUCACCAAUUCCCAUGUCAGAUUCUUGUUAAUCAUUUCCAACUCAGCCUAUAUAGCUUUCAUCCAAUUCCUAUCUUUGGCAGCCUCCUCGAAAUCUGUAGGCUCGAUCACAACAACACUACACCUCUGAUAAACAUCAGUCAAAGUUCUGGUGCCCCUCACUGGUGUAUCAUCAACAGCAUCAUCAUUUGGUCCCUCUUCUGUAGGCUCAAUAACCAAGUCCAUCUGAUCCAUUUCAGACAUGUCUGCCCCAACACCAUUCCAGUUCCACACCUUUUCUUCAUCAAACUUCACAUCUCUACUGACUAGAACCUUUUUUGCUGAAGGAUCAUACACUCUAUAACCUUUCUUGUUGCUGCUAUAGCCAACAAAGAUUCCUGGAAUAGCCCUGCUCUCGAGGUUGGCUCUCUUUUCCACUGGAACAAGAGCAUAGCACACACAACCAAAAACAUUCAGGUGUGUGACCAUUGGUUUAACUCCAUGCCAAGCCUCAAAAGGUGUUUUAUCCUUGACUGCUCGAGUUGGCAGCCUAUUGAGUAGGUAUACUGAGGUGUUGACAGCCUCAGCCCAAAACUGACUUGGAACCUUGCUUUGAAAUAACAGACACCUGGCCAUGUUUAGCACAGUUCUGUUUUUCCUUUCACUAACUCCAUUCUGUUAGGGAGUAUAGACUGUUGUAAGCUGAUGGUGAAUCCCGGCAUUGUCACAAAGCUUCUGAAAUUUAUCAGACACAUGCUCUGACCCAUUAUCAGUCCUUAAGGCUCUAAUUUUGCAGCCAGACUAGUUUUCAACAUAUGCCUUGAAUUUGCAGAAGGCCUCAAAUACCUCUGAUUUCUGCUUCAAGAAGUAGACCCAACAUAGCCUUGUUAGAUCAUCUAUAAACAGGACAAAAUACUCUUUUUAUAUAAUAUUCGGGUGGGGAUGGGAGUCAUAUACUUUGAACUUGUGUUAAACGGGUACUUGAUAAAAAAGUUUAAUCAUCAUUCCACGUAAGUCGUUUUAUACAUUUGGUUAUAAGAAAUCGUACAUAUUUUUGUUAUGUCAUAUAAAAGUAUACAUGUUAUAUGUUUUGAUUGACAUUGAAUCAUCUAAUUUUUAAUAGAAAUGGUGAGUUGUAAAUUUAAAGGGGUUGUUUUACUAUUUAAAUAAUGAAUUUAACCAUUUAACAUCUAAUGAGUUACUUAGAAUUUCUUUCUUUGGUUGAAAUUGAUUAAUUUCAAUGAAAUAGAUGCAAAUGACCAAUUAAUAAGAAGAUAAAUUUAAAAAAAAAAAGCAAAUUGGGAGGCCAGAAGCGAGCCUUAGAUAUAUAGCAAACAAUCACUUCAUUCAAAGCUCAUACUAUAUAGCAAUCUAAUUCUUAUAAAAAAUACGUACACACACUUCAUGAAAUUAGAUAUCUUGGCAAUAUGCAUUCCAGUGCUGAUUAGAUAAACUGCAUCAAGAAGAAAAAUGGUAUGUACAUAUCAUCAUCUCUUAUGUAUAAUAAUUAAAAAUAUGAAAUAAUAAAAUGAUAUUAAAAAUUUAGUUUAUCUAGAAAAAUAUUCAAAAUUCUUAUUUUUUUAUAUUUUAAUUAUAAUUUUUAUGGUAAUUGAAGAUAUAUUCUUCUAUUCUGUUAUUUUAUCAAUAUUAUAUCAAUCUCUAACUCUAUGGGUGAAAAAGAAAAGAAAAAAGAAUGUAAAAAUUAUUAUUUUAUAGAAAUAAAUACCUCACGUGAUGUUGGCUCCUAUUAUUUUGGGAUCAAUUUAUAAUGUGGAUGGAGGGAAUGUGGCGCACUUUAUAGAAAUCCUCUCCUUCUCUUCCAUCUAUCACUUUAAUCCUUUCUUCCAAUGACGAAGGCAUUAGCCUUAAAUUCGAUUCUUCGAGAGUAGUAAUGUACCUCAAUCCUUCUGGAAGCAUCCUUAAACUCUCAACCUUGACCAACUCCAAUUCUCGAAGGCAUGGCAUUGCACCUUCUUCUAUUUCCCACUCCUCCAACUCAAAUAACGAAGACAUUUGAAGAUAAUCAAGUUUAGGAAAUCCAUUUUCAGAGCACACCAUUUUACUCCCAAUAUAUGCUCUUUUCAAAUGGAGAAUCCUCAAAUGACAUAGCUUUUCUAAUACCGCCAUUGGAUCUUGGCUCAGCUCACAGUCAACCAAAGUUAAUUUGACAAUAUUUGAUGGAAGAAAUUUCAAAACAUGACCGUUCGGAUGUGGCUCAUCUUUUAUCGGACCCAGUAAUUUCAGUUUGGAGAGGUGAUAAUAUUGAGAAAGGGGUUCUAAGUCUAGGUGUGAGCCAUCAGAAAAACGUAAGGACACUGACCUAAGGCGUUGCAAUUUGGCUAGCAAGAUUAGGGUAGGCUUCACAUAUUCUGCUCUGGUAAAUGCUAUUCCUAAACUCUGAAUAUUAGUCCACCUAAGCACCGCAUUAUUUUCAAUCGCCUUCUCAUCCACCUCUAUGAACUUCAAAGUUUCAAUAUUUUUUGAAGUGAACCCUUACCGCCAACGAAAUCCAUCUACGUGGAAUUUCUCAACCGAUUUUAUUACAAUAUGCCUUAAACGUUCCAACUUAAACACACCAUCUGGAAUUACAAUGUCAUCACAAAACUUGAUGUAUAAAGUGUAAAGAUUCUUCAACCUGCCAAAAGAUCGCGGCAAAAUCAUUUUGUAAUUGUAGUAUGUUGCGGAAAGGAUCGAUUCGAGAACUCCGAUAUGACUACAAGUAAAUUGACCGGAACGAAAAAUAAAGUGAACACAAGGAUUUACGUGGUUCGGCUUUAAUGCCUACGUCCACGAGCAGAGGCGAAAAGAAAUUUCACUAUAACAAGAUGAAGAUUACAAGUGUUUUACACUCAAGACACAACCCGAGAACCUCACAACUCUCAACCCCUAUAGAAAACCCGAAAGCUAAAAUCCUAGCUUUCAAAGAACAAGCUUUGCUCUCUCUUGGUUUGGGAUGAUCAAUAUGGCUAAUGAACCUCUCUAUUUAUAAGAGAGUUCAAGGACAUAAUUGUCCAAAACUUUGGCAAAGAUUUGUGGUUGAAAAUGGACACCAACAACCAUCCACUAAACCACUACCACCAACAACCCACUACCAACAACAACAAUCCACUACCAAUUUUAAGCCAUUUCUUAACAAAUCUCCACCUUGGCUUGAAAUUUACCAAGCUGAACAUCAUAGUGAAUUCCUCGAACUGGAUCACCUCUUCCAAACGCCUCUCUGGCGCUAAUCAAUCCCGAAUACCUAUCAAGUCCAAGCAAUGCUUGAACUUAUAUGCAGGGAUCACCUUAGUUAACAUAUCUGCAGGAUUCUUCUCGGUAGCAACCUUGCUGAUAACAAUGUCACCUUGCGUAACAUGUUCCCGAACAAAAUGAUAUCUGACAUCAAUGUGUUUGGUCCGUUCAUGAAACAUCUGAUUUUUAGUCAGAUGUAUGGCACUCUGGCUAUCGCAAAAUACAACAGUGAAAUCCUGUUGUAAACCCAAACUGCUUACUAGACCUUUCAUCCACAAUGCUUCUUUCACUGCUUCUGCUAACGCCAUAUAUUCCGCCUCAGUCGUAGAUAAGGCUACGGUAGACUGUAACACAGCUUUCCAACUAAUGGCUCCUCCAGAAUAAGUGAAAACAUAACCCGUCAGAGAUCUUCUUUUGUCCAGAUCUCCAGCAUAAUCAGAGUCCACAUAGCCCGUGACACUGCUAGUGCAGUCACUCUGAUCAUAUACCAAGCAUAAAUCUGCAGAACCUCUCAAGUACCUGAGAAUCCAUUUCACGGCCUGCCAGUGUUCCUUGCCAGGACAACUCAUGUAUCUGCUGACCACACUAACUGCAUGUGAAAUGUCUGGACGAGUGCAAACCAUUGCAUACAUCACGCUUCCAACUGCACUCGAGUAUGGAAUGUGAGACAUUUGCUGCUUUUCUUCAUCAGAUUGUGGUGACAACUCUGCAGAGAGUUUGAAAUGUGGUGCCAACGGAGUACUCACAGUUUUCGCUUUAUCCAUGCCGAAGCGUUGAAGAACCUUUUCAAUGUAGUUCUUCUGCGACACACGAAGCUUGCCCGCCUUGCGAUCUCUGUGAAUAUCCAUGCCCAAAAUUUUCUUGGCAGCACCCAGAUCCUUCAUCUCGAACUCACCACUCAACUGCGACUUUAACUUGUUGAUUUCCGACAUGUUUUUGGAAGCAAUUAACAUGUCAUCAACAUACAGCAACAAAUAAAUGUGCGAACCAUCUGAGAGCUUCCGAUGAUAGACACAAGCAUCAUAGUCACAUCUUGUGUAACCAUGCUGAAUCAUGAAGCUAUCAAACCGCUUGUACCACUGCCUUGGGGAUUGUUUCAAUCCAUAUAAAGACUUCUUUAAUAGACAGACAUGGUCUUCUUUACCAGGAACUGUAAAACCCUCUGGUUGACGCAUGUAGAUUGUUUCCUCGAGCUCACCAUGCAAGAACGCCGUUUUUACGUCAAGCUGCUCAAGUUCUAGAUCAGACUUGGCCACCAUGGCAAGUAAUACACGAAUGGAAGAAUGCUUUACGACUGGGGAGAAAACUUCAUUGUAGUCAAUCCCCUCUUUCUGAGUGAAGCCUUUAGCAACCAAUCGUGCCUUGAAUCUAGUUGCUUCAACCCCUAGGAUGCCUUCCUUUUUCUUGAAGACCCAUUUGCAACCAACUAUCUUCUGGUUACUUGGCGGCUUAACCAACUCCCAAGUAUGGUUCUUGUGAAGAGAUUCUAUCUCCUCACUCAUAGCAAUUGCCCACUGUGCCGACUCAUCACACGUGACAGCCUCAUUAUAACUGGAAGGUUCUAUACCAAUGGACUCCGCCACACUGAGCGCGAAAGACACCAGAUUAGCGUAACGCGGAUUUGGUUUGAUUUGUCUCUUCGUUCUUCCAGUGGCAAUGCUAUAUGGUUUUUCUUGAGGUGACUCAUCUUCAUCGGAAUCUUGCACCUCAACUUGAUCAUCCUGGACUGAAGUACCUUCCAUAGGAAUUGGAGCGUCCACCUGACACUCCACCUGCUUCUCAACACCGUGAUCUCCCAUUCUAUCUGACUCCUCCUUUUCCCGGGAAUUUGUGGUGGAUCGAAGCAUGGAUGACUCAUCAAAAGUCACAUCUCUGCUGAUGAUGAACUUGGACGAAACCGGAUCAGGACACCACAACCUGUAUCCUUUCACCCCUUGGCCGUAUCCAAGAAAUAUGCAUUUCUUCGCCCUCGGUUUGAGUUUUCCCUCAUUUACAUGAGCAUACGCAGGGCAGCCAAACACUCUUAAACCAGAGUAAUCAGCAGGAGAACCAGACCAUACUUCCUCAGGAGUCUUCAGCUCAAUAGCUGUUGACGGAGAUCUGUUAACCAAAUAACAAGCAGUAUUAACAGCUUCAGCCCAAAAUUCUUCACCGAGCCCAGCAUUUGAUCGCAUGCAACGAGCUCGCUCCAAGAGAGUUCUAUUCAUGCGUUCUGCAACUCCAUUUUGUUGUGGUGUUCGACGAACAGUGCGGUGUCUCACUAUUCCUUCAUUUUUGCAGAACUCAUUGAAUUCACCUGAGCAAAACUCCAAGCCAUUAUCCGUCCGGAAUCGCUUGAUCUUCUUUCCUGUUUGAUUUUCGAUCAAAGCUUUAAAUUGCUUGAAGUUGAUGAGAACCUCAUACUUGCUCUUCAGAAAAUACACCCAAACCUUUCUCGAGUAAUCAUCGAUAAAGGUAAGCAGAUAUCUGUAACCACCUUUAGAAAUUGUCGGAGAAGGCCCCCAAAGGUCAGAAUGGAAGUAAUCCACUGUGCCUUUUGUCUUGUGAAUCCCAGUGCUGAACUUUACCCGAGUCUGCUUACCGAAGACGCAGUGCUCACAGAAAUUCAACUUUCCUGUACACUGCCCAGACAAUAAUCCUCGUUUGCUUAGCACCGAUAAGCCUCUCUCGCUCAUAUGCCCGAGCCGCAUAUGCCAUAACUUCGUGGUGUCAGAAUCUAGAUCAUCUGAUGAUGACACUCCCGCAACACCUGUAACCGAGGAACCAUCGAGGAAGUAAAGGCCCCGCUCCAAAUUACCACGUAUCACAGUCAAAGCACCCGAGAAUACCUUGAGAACUCCACCUUCAGCAGAGUACCGAAAGCCUUUCUUGUCCAACGUACUCAAAGAGAUCAAAUUUUUCUUCAUUUCUGGAAUGUGCCGAACAUCAGUUAGAGUUCUAACAAUACCGUCAAACAUCUUUAUACGAACUGUGCCAAUCCCCAUGACUUGACAUGCGUGGUCAUUUCCCAUUAGUACUGAACCAGAAUGCUUCUCGUAUGUUGAGAAUGCAUCUUUCGAAGUACUUAUAUGAAAUGUAGCUCCCGUAUCAAGAAUCCAUCUCCCACCAGCGUAAGAGUCGGAUACUGCAAGAACGAUCUCGGCAUCACUUGAAGAAUCUGCAUCAGCUACAUUCGCACGAUCAUUUUGUUGCUCCUGUGAUUCUGAUUUCUCCUUCCUUUUCGGACAAUCUACCUUCAUGUGCCCGUACUUCUUACAGUAGUAGCACUGUAUUCUCUUCUUGGACUGCGAUCUAGGAUGGCUUUUACUUGAACUUCCACCCUUUGCCUUGGAUCUUCCUCGAGCAACCAAGCCUUCGCCUUCAUUGUUUUCGACCACCUUACCAGUGAUUUUCUUCCUCAACUCACUGGAACUUAAGGCAUUUUUCACCUCCUCUAGAGUCAGGUCAUCACGACCGUACAUCAUUGUAUCAACAAAAUUCUCAUACGAGGGAGGCAAAGAACACAAAACAAUUAUUGCUUGGUCCUCAUCAUCGAUUUUGUUAUCGAUAUUAUUCAAAUCCAUGAUAAUGGAAUUGAAUUUAUCCAGGUGCUGGGAAACAGGUGUACCUUCCUCCAUCUUCAGGGCAUAGAGUCUUUGCUUGAGGUAGAGCCGGUUCGUCAAUGACUUCGUCAUGUACUUGCUCUCUAACCGGAGCCACAAACCGGACGCGGUUUUCUCAUCCGCUACUUCUCGUAGCACUUCAUCUCCUAGACAUAGCAGAAUAGCACUAUGUGCUCUUUCUAGCAUGUCAUCCUUUUGCUCUUCCGAAAGCGUGCUUGGUAAUUUAUCUUUACCAGACAAUGCUUUUAGCAAUCCUUGUUGAACCAGCACUGCCCGCAUCUUGAUGCGCCAUAAACUGAAACUAUUUUUCCCGGUAAAUUUCUCGACAUCAUACUUAGUCGAUGAAACACUUGUAGCCAUAAUUUGGAACCUUUGAAUGAAUGAUAAUAUUUUCUUCCUGAUGUGAAAGAUCAGACAAAGCUGCAGUCACAGGGCAAUUCAGAAAAUAUUAUCACUCCUUCAACUACGCUCUGAUACCAAUUUGUUGCGGAAAGGAUCGAUUCGAGAACUCCGAUAUGACUACAAGUAAAUUGACCGGAACGAAAAAUAAAGUGAACACAAGGAUUUACGUGGUUCGGCUUUAAUGCCUACGUCCACGGGCAGAGGCGAAAAGAAAUUUCACUAUAACAAGAUGAAGAUUACAAGUGUUUUACACUCAAGACACAACCCGAGAACCUCACAACUCUCAACCCCUAUAGAAAACCCGAAAGCUAAAAUCCUAGCUUUCAAAGAACAAGCUUUGCUCUCUCUUGGUUUGGGAUGAUCAAUAUGGCUAAUGAACCUCUCUAUUUAUAAGAGAGUUCAAGGACAUAAUUGUCCAAAACUUUGGCAAAGAUUUGUGGUUGAAAAUGGACACCAACAACCAUCCACUAAACCACUACCACCAACAACCCACUACCAACAACAACAAUCCACUACCAAUUUUAAGCCAUUUCUUAACAUAGUAUAACUUCAAGUAUCUCAAAUGUUGGAGAUUACCAAUUUCAGUCGACACACGCCACCACUUAUUGCCCCAUUUUGCAAGAGUCAACACCCUUAAAAAUUUGAAGCUUCUGUAUUUUGAAAUGCAUAAAUCUGGCCAUCCCUCCUUCUGAGAAAACAACAAAGAGCGUAAUUUUGGAUGCUCUCCCUUAAAAUUCAAAUAAUAUAUCUCUCCACUAGGAUGAAUAGCAAUUCUUCGUAGCAUAGAUUAUGCCAAUGUCACUCCAGGUACAAGCGGUGGAUGUUGAAUAAUUUCCAAGAACUUCUGCUCCCUUGCUUUCUUCGUGCACAAGUCCCUCAAGAGAUCAUGUACUCGACAUGUCUCCACAUUUGUUCCUGUAUAGUCUCGCCUGCUAACUUGAACCAAGCUCCUAUCUAUAAGCUCUUCUAGGAAUAUUUCGCCUAAAUCCUCCAUGAAGAAUUCUUCGUUUUCCGGAAUGAAACCUUCAGCGAUCCAUAAACGAAUGAGUUCUUUUUUCGGUAUCUCCCAAUCUUCUGGAUAAUGACUAAGAUACAAAAAGCAGGGUUUUAAAGGAUAAGGCAAGUCAUUGUAGCUUGAAACCAAAAUUCGGUUCACUGCACCAUAUUGACGAUCUUGGUGUGGGAGCUCAUUUAAGUGUCCAUGGAUGUUUUUAUGAACCAUCUCCCUUGAGCCACGGACUGUUUUGUUGCCAGCAAGCAACCCAACACAACAAUUGCUAAAGGCAAGCCUCCACAUUUUUUCACCAUCUCUUUUCCAAGCUUCACAAAUUCUUCUGAGCAGCAUUGAGAACCCAUUUUGCUCCGUGGGAAUGCUUUCUUACACAGAAGAUUCCAACUUUCAUCAUCCGUAAGAAAUGAGAGCUCCAUGGGAGUGUUGCAAGAAUCGGCUCGUGAAGCCACAUUCCUGUUGCGUGUUGUGAACAAUAUUUUGCUUCCCUUUCUUCCUCGUGGAAAAGCAGGUUUAAGAAUAUCCCAGUCCUCGCUUCUCCAAAUAUCAUCGAGGACCACCAAAUACCGCUUUUCUUUCAAAGCAUCAAAAUGCGUUCUCCUCAGCUCAAUCUCGUCCAUUUUCUCAAUUUUCUCUCGUUCAUCGUUAGAAGGAGAGAGAACUUUCUUCAAGACACUAAGCAAAACUUCUCUCGGCUUACAUUGUUGAGAGAUAGAAAACCAAGCCAAGAAAUCAAAAUGGCGUCUCACAUCAACAUGAUUAUAUACUUUUCUGGCAAGAGUUGUCUUACCGAGGCCCCCCAUUCCGACUAUGGGAACCACGGCGUGGGGUCUAUCUUCUUCAAACAUCAACAUGGUCAUGACAUCCUUCGUGCUAACUUCCAAGCUAACAACGUCCUCUUCCUCGACAUGUGAGUAUGUCCUUCUAAACUGUUGCUGCACCUUGAAAAUUGAGCUAGAGCCUUCUCCAUCAUCGGGUAUUUCAAAAGCUGGAAGAUUCUCGGAAAUGUUUUGGAGCUUGGUCUUGAUUGCUUUGACCUGCAACCCAAUUUUGUUCAGAUGAUAAGGUUUGGUGAAAAUGGAGGUGAAUCUCUUGACAAUCCCUUGAAAACCUCGUUGAUAUGCUGUUUUAAGAAUAAAAGAGUCGAUGACAUCUUCAGCAUCAUAAGCAAGAUUUCUGAUUUCCGACACCCGAUUCUGGAAACGCGCAUCUUGUUCAAGAUUGCGAUCCGCGUCCUUCAAGAAACACUGCAUUCGCUUCAGUUCAGCCCUUAGGCUCUCAACUUGAUCUUUUACAUCUUUGAGGAAGACAGCUUCAUGGAUGAGUAAAUCUGAAAUUCUUUCAACAGCUAAGGACACAAUAGCCUCUUCCAUUUCUCCUGCUGGUCCAGAACAGAUUCCACAAACUGAUCUGCAAGUAUUAGUAGAAUAUUUUAUGUAUUAGUGGAGAAGUAUUUCUCUUUAUCAGAAGUUUUGAAGAGCUGUUUUUGGGUGUGAGGUUGGUAAUUACUGUUCUUUGGACAGCAAAUAGCUAAACUUAUUAUUAUUAUUAUGGAACGUAACUUUUUUUAAAUAAAAUAACAUAUAUUCAAACUUAACAUGUGGAUAACCCUUGUUCUAAAUUAGUUGAAGCGAUCUUGUUUCAAUUUUAAACACUUCAUAUUUCCUUAAUGCCAUCGACUAACCACAUAACUAAUUACUAUUAGCAUCUUUAAUGACUCCUCCAAUUGCAACCGAGUGAGCGCUAGACGAAAUUGCACCAUCUGUAUUAAGUUUAAUCUAACCACUUUCCGGAACUAACCAUUUUGAAUAAAAAGCCAUAGAAUUCGAAUGGAACAUAGCCAUUGAGAGCGGUGAAUAACUUCUUUACCAACUGAUAUCUAUAUCUACCACAUCCUGAACAGAGCUAUAACUAUCGGAAAGCACAAACAUAUUCUUGUUUUUCUAUAAUAACCAAAAUAUUUUUAUUGAUUAAUAAUAAUAUUUAUAAAUAAGCUAUAGAGUGAAUCAAAUUUACUUUGAUAUCAAUAGAUGUUGAUUUAAUAAUGAAAAAUUCAUAACAAUUAUAAAAUAAUUUCUUCCAAUUAAAAAGCAAUUUUUAAAAAGGACAAAAAGAAAACUCGCUUUUUUUUCUUAUAUCUUUUUAAGAAAGAAAAGGUUAGGUGGACACAAAAUUCCAAAAGCACAAGAGAUUUUCCACAUUGAAAACAAAAGCUGUUUUCAAUUUCCACACUGGAUUCCACACAAAAUCGAUCAAGUAAAAUGGCAUGUGAAGAAAAGUUAUAAUCACUCUCAUUAGUAGGCCAACCCUCAUAACAGUCAUUUCUCAUAACUGAUUGGAUAAGGGUGAGUUUAGAUCGGCGAUUUAUUUAUUUGCUGUUAGUGUAAAAACAGUGGUGGCGAUGAGAUUAAAUACUGUAGCAAUACUGUAGCGUAAGAUAAAAUGUAAGUUAAUCACACUGCACCGCACUGCAUUGCACCUAAUCGCCUAUCCAAACCCACCUGAAGACCAAAAGAAAAAAGGUUUGUUACUUGGGUAAAUUAUACUUAAGGUCACUAAAUUGUUAAUAAAUUUAUGUUUUGAUCAUUUAACUUUAAAAGUAAUAAAAUGAUGAUUAAACUAUUUGAAGGUUUUUAUUUUAGUCACUGAUCUAUUCAACAAUUUUUAUUUAAGUCAUUAGAGUACUAUUAGUUUUUUUUAAAAAGUCUGUCUAGCUAGGUUAAAGCGACAAUUCGAUGAAUGGUACAAUGGAUCAAUACUCAUCCAUGAGUAGAAUAACAUAUACUAGAUCAAGUCAAUUUGAUGGUUGGUGCCGAAGAACGGAAAACAAAACUAUUUAGAUUUGGAUUCGUAGAUACGUGACAUUUGAAAUUGUUUCAUGAAAAAAAAAACUUAAACUAUAGAAAAGCAGGGGUAGAAGAGUUAGCGGAUAAACAAUGAAGGCCAUAUAUAUAGUAGUGAUUUUAACAACUUAAUGACUUAAAGAAUACUUUUGAAUAAUUUAGUGACAAUUUUGUAACUUUUUAAUAUUAAAUGACUAAAACAUAAACUUACUAGUAGUUUAAUGAAUUUGAAUUUAGUUUACUCCAAUUAUUUAUCAUUUUUACUGUGUUGUUUUUUGAUACAUUACCUAAAUUACCCAUCAGUAAACUUCACAAUUCCAAAAAGUGAAGGAACGCGUUUAUUAACGUUCAAACCCAUGUCCUUCAAUUCUUUUUUGCCCGGCCAAUAUAAAAAUUUUAUCCAGAACGAAAGGACGACUUGGAAAACAACAGUACAAAAGAAUGUUGAAAGAAAAUAGGAAAAAAAUUGAGAAAAUAAAACAAUCACGAUUUUUUUUUAAUUUUAAUGGUGAAAAAAAAGGUUUUAAGAAGAGAAAUUUAUUUAUUUGAGGGAGUUCCAUAUAUAAUUUAAAUUUAGAAUUUCAAAGUUCAUAACAACUCAAUCUUAUCCGUGAAAAAAUAGUUGUUCAAUAAUUUUUACUUGGUUUGUUCCUACAACCGUUAUAUUAGAGUUUAUCAUGUAUGGAUCCAUGUUUGUUCUUCUUUUAGGGUGGGUUCGGAUGGGCAGUAGAGUACGGUGCAGCGGUGCAAUACGUUUGGUUUAUUUUUGUCUCACGUUAAAGUGUCGUUACAGUAUCUAAUCUCACCGCCACCUCUAUUAUUACACUAACACUAGGUAAACGCACCGCUCAUCUAAACGCACCAUUAAUUUAUCACAUAUGAUCGUCCCUUUCCUUUCCCUUUUAUAGAUAGUAAGAGGUGUUUAUUGGUUCGAAUUAAGUUUAUGUUUAUUUAAAAUUGAUCUAGUUUAGUAACUUAUUUUGUUAUGUCCAUUUAUAUUUAUAACAGGCAUAUGUUAGUCUAUUUUAAACCUAUAAUUUUUGAAUAUAUAUUAUUAUUAAUUUAAUAUUUAAUAUUUUUAAUAAUAUUUUUUAUUAAAAUUGAAAUUUAUACAAUAUUUUUUAUGUUUAAAUAAAAUUUAUACAAAACUCUAAAGUGGGUUAGGUUUAGAGGUGAUCAUGGGUUGGGCUACUUAGCCCGACCCGACGGCCCGUCCGAAAAAUAAGAGGGUUCGGGUAAAAAUAUAGGCCCGAAAUAUGAGUUUGGGCAAAAAAAGAUGCCCUUUUUCUAAAUGGGCUAGGCCUCGAGGUAAAACUUUUUUGGCCCGAGCCCAACCCAAAUUAUAUAUUAAAUAUAAAUUUGUUAUUUUUAAUCAAACAUACAUCUAAUUCUAGUUGGUUGAUUAUAUUUUACAGGUUUUUUAUGCUAUUUUAGUGUUGUAAAAUUUAAUAUGGGUAUGGUGGAAUCAAGUUUUUUAUUUUUAUUUUUACCUUAGUCCAUUUUUUAGAUCUUGUUUUUUUUUUCUUUUGAGAAAUAAAAAUAGAUGCCAUGAAACUUGAAAAUUAAAUACAACCUCUGCAUGGGUACUACGCAUCCUACUCUCCUACAUCCGUUAAUCGGUGGAUUAGUUCUUAAUUAAUGCAAAAGUUGUAUCAUACUCAAUUCCUACGGGACUUUAAUCAUCCGGCCUAAAAGAAACAAAGAGACAAUCUAAAAGAAUCAAACCCUAAAAAUCAACUACAUCCUAAUUUUUAGGGAAAAAAAAACCCUAUCAAUUUCUCCAACUACAUCCGGACUUUAUUCAGUUUUUUUAUAUAUAUAAGAUGGACGUUUGAGCUUAAAUAAAUAAUUGAACUCAUAAAUAGAGGCUUUUUUUAUAAAAAUAACUCAAAAAUUUUGAUUAUUUAUGAAAUUAAUCUAUUUUUUUAUUUAACAUGUAAAUGAUCUAAAAUCUGUGGUAAAAGUUGGUGGAGUCAAAGAGUUUGACGUCACCAACAUACCACGUCAGUAAUCCAGAUAAAAAUUUAUUUUUUUGGUAGAACCAUGUAAAAUGACGUCACCUGUAUAAAUAAUAAAAAAAUACAGCUAUUUUUAAAAAAAUUGGGGGACCUUAAAAAAACUUUUUUUUUUCCUGGUAAAGCUAAAUAAUUUGACGCUACCAAUUUCUAAAAUUACCUGCAUCAUCCAUUUUUGAAAUGUCGUUAUUUUAUGUCAUUUAUGUAUUUAAUAAAAAUAAAUAAUCAAAUUUUUUAAAUUAUUUUUUAUAAAAAAGCCUUAAUAGAUAAUUCAUCGAUUACCAAAUCAAUCAACCUAUUCAAUCAAACAAGACAGGUUUUAGCCUCACUCGGAAAAGCCACAGUCCACUCCCGUAGAGCAGCCAAAACAUAUUUAAUUAUUCAAAAGCCGUGUGCCGUUCGACUAAAACAAAUUUCCAAAUCAAGAAGCAAUUUUUUAAAAUAAAAACAAAAUUGCUUGUAGAAAAAGCUUUAGGUGGACACAAAAUUCCAAAAGCGCCAACAGAUUUUCCACACAUUGGGAAUAAAACUUGUUUGCAAUUUCUACAUUGGCAGCCAUACAAUAAAAUGGUAGGAAACUGACCCAAGGCGAUCCAAUAUGAUUAGCAACAGAAAGACUUAAUAUCUUUUGAACUCUUAAAUAUUAUUCCUCAACAUUAAAUAUGAGUCAACCUAAGUGCCUCAUUAUUUUCAAUAAACUUCUUAUUUACCAUCAUGCGCUUCAAAGUUUCAAUAUUUUUUUGAAGAAAAGCUUUGGCACAGGAGAAAACAACUUUUUUAACAAGGGUAUGUAUACCAUUUCAUCACAAAUUGCCUUAAACAUUCCAACUUGAAUACUACAUUUGGAAUUACAGAGUCAUAAUGGCAUUAGAGGUACAAAGUGUGUAAAUUCUUCAACUAAUUUCCAAUAGCCCAUGGCAAGAGUAUUUUGAGUUUGCAUCUUAACCUCAAAUGAUGGAGAUUACAAAUUUCACUUGACACAUGCCACUCCUCAACAUUCCUCGUAAGUUUCAAGAAUAGAAAACUAACGUGAAAUUCAGAAAUUGAAAGGGAAAGUUUGAAACAAAAAGAAUCAACAGAGGUAGAAAAAAACUAGCAGCAACAAAACUAAUGUGAAAACAAAAGAAGAGUGGAAAACAUGGGAAAGUGGGGAAGUUGGACAUAUGGGAUGGAGAGACGUGGGAGAAUUUUGGAGAAAUAUUUUUAAUUAAUUUUUUCUUAAAAAAUAUUAUCCUAACCAACAUAAUUUUUUUUGAUAACCUAUCAAUUUAUUCAUAAUUCGAAUUUAACUAAACCGCUAACACAUGGGCAGCACAUUUAGGGAGUUCCAAAAUUAAUUUUUGCUUUAUAAGGAUUCAAACACGAGAUCUCUAAGCAAGCUGAAACUUUAUUAUUAAACUAGUAAAUUCAUUCUUAUUAAUAAUUAAUAAAAAUAAUAUAUAAUCUAAAUAUUCAAGGAUAGGGGAUGGAACAAAAAUAACAAAUUAAAAAAAAAAAAGAUUUACCGUAACUUUUGUUUCAUCAGUAUGCUUGUCUCAUAUCAGAGUAAAACUGCUUACAAAUGUGAGGCUAAGAUUUUUACGUUUCAGAAACAUGUAUAUAAAUGCUUCUCGGUUGGUCGAAAAUGAAGCAUAUAACACGGUUAUCUUAGUACAUAGAGUUCCCUGAAUUUACUACAUUUCGAUUUGUGUAACCUUAUUAAAACAAGUCUUCAAUAUGAGUCCCUACUUUGUUGUUAUUGUUUAUAGGAAGAAUAAAUUAUGUGAAACUCAACUUUCUUAAGCACCCUAACUUUUGUGAAUUUAGAUUAAAAGGGAGUUUAAUUCACAAAAUAUUUGAUUAACCUGACAAUUAGUGCAUUACUAGAUAUGUUACAGUACCGCGUUUGGUUCAAGGUAAAAGUUGAAAUAAUUCUAGACUCAAAGAUAUUUGAUUAUCGGUUUGUUCUUAGUAUAUAGUAAAUGAGUAAAAAGUUUUGAUUAAAAAAACUUUAUGGAAUUAUUAAUAUCAUUAAUUAAACAGUUAAAAAUUUUAAAAUGAUUAAUGUCGACUCUUUUUAUAAAAUAUUCGGGUGGGGAUUGGUAUAAAUCUGUUAAAAAAAUUUAAUAUUCAUCAUUCCACUUAAGUCAAGAUUAAUAUAAAUCUGUUUUAUACAUUUUGUUAUAAGAAAACGCACAUAUUUUUGUUAUGUCAUAUAAAUAUACAUGUUAUAUGUUUUGAUUAACAUUGUAUCAUCUAAUUUUUAAUUGAAAUAGUGAGUUGUAAAUUUAAAGGGGUUGUUUUACUAUUUAAAUAAUGAAUCUAACCAUUUAACAUCUAUUGAGUUAUUUAGAAUUUCUUUCUUCGGUUUAAAUUGAUUAAUUUCAAUUAAAUAGAUGCAAAUGAAGAACCAAUUAAUAAGAAGAUAAAUUUUUGAAAAAAUAAGCAAAUUGGGAGGCCGGAAGCCAGCAUUAGAUAUAUAGCAAACAAUCACUUCAUUCAAAGCUCAUACUAUAUGGCAAUCCAAUUCUUAUAAAAAAUACAUACACACACUUAAUGAAAUUAGAUAUCUGGGCAAAGUGCAUUCCAGUGCUGAUUUGGUAAACCUACAUCAAGAAAAAAAAUGGUAUGUAUAUAUCAUCAUCUCUUAUGUAUAAUAAUUAAAAAUAUGAAAUCAUAAAACGAUAUUAAAAAUUUAGUUUUUCUAGAAAUAUAUUCAAAAUUCUUACUUUUUUAUAUUUUAAUUAUAAUUUUUAUGGUAAUUAAAGAUAUAUUCUUCUAUUCUGUUAUUUUAUCAAUAUUAUAUCAAUCUCUGACUCUAUGAGUGAAAAAGAAAAGAAAAAAGAGCCUAAAAAUUAUUAUUUUAUAGAAAUAAAUACCUCACGUGAUGUUGGCUCCUAUUAUUUUGGGAUCAAAUUAUGUGGAUGGAGGGAAUGUGGCGCACUUUAUAGAAAUCCUCUCCUUCUCUUCCAUCUAUCACUUCAAUCCUUUCUUCCAAUGACGAAGGUAGUCCUCUUAAAUUCAAUUCUUGGAGAGUAGUAAUGUACCUCAAUCCUUCUGGAAACAUCCUUAAACUCUCAACGUUGACCAACUCCAAUUCUCGAAGGCAUGGCAUUGAACCUUCUUCUAUUUCCCACUCCUCCAACUCAAAUAACCAAGACAUUUGAAGAUAAUCAAGUUUAGGAAAUAUUGGAACCCACCCAUUGUUUGAAAAGUCAAAAAGGGUGGGCACUGAAAGUAGAAAGUAAAAUUGGUUGGCAAGUUGGGUUAAAAGUUGGCAUGGGAUAAUUGCAAUUUUGGUCCCUAAUUGUAUAGGGACAUUGCAAGUUGAUCCUUGAACCUCAACUAUAAAUAGGCCUAACCAUUUCUUACUUUCUUCAUCCCACACUUGCCAUUCUCUACUUAAGGCAAUUGUUCUCUCUCCCUAUUUGUAAACUUUCACUUGUAUUUUUGGAGUGAAAUAUAUUUGGUAGUGCCCGAGGACGUAGGCAAAAUUUGCUGAACCUCGUUAAAAUUCUAGUGUUCUUUAUUUUUGUUCUGCAUAUUUUGCAAGUGUUAUUGUAGUGAUUUAUUGUGCUAUUAAAUUACGAUAGAGGGAUAUUCUGGCUAGGAAAGAUCUGGUAUGUAAGCGAUCCUCGUGAUCCACCUCUCUUUCUUGGGAAUUGAACUUAGUGUGAUUUUUCAAUACAAUAAUUUUACUCUUUCACACGCUUCCGCGCAACAAUUGGUACCAGAGCCAGGUUCGUACUUGGGGAAUACGACCGUUUACGGUACUAUUCACGUAUACGGUACUAUUCACGUAUACAGUACUAUUCACGUAUACGACACUAUUCACGUAUACGGUACUGUUCACGUAUACAGUAGUUGGGAUUGAGGAGAAAAAUGGCAGCAGCAUCGUCAUCAGCAAGGACUACUGUGACAAAUGCAAAAUUUGAAGUAGAGAAAUUUGACGGUACCAAUAAUUUUGGUAUGUGGCAGUGUGAGAUCCUGGAUGUCUUAUGUCAGCAAGAGCUGGAUAUAGCCCUUGAAGAAAAACCUGACAAGAUGGAUGACAAGGAGUGGGCCAAGAUCAAUAGACAGGCGUGUGGUACAAUCCGCCUAUGUUUGGCCAAAGAGCAGAAGUACUCCGUCAUGAGGGAGACAUCAGCGAAGAAGCUGUGGGAUACAUUGGAAGAAAAGUUUCUAACGAAAAGUCUUGAAAAUAGGCUUUAUAUGAAAAAGAAACUUUUUCGGUUCACGUAUGCACCCGGUAUGUCGAUGAAUGACCAUGUGAACUCAUUCAAUAAAAUUUUAGCAGACUUGCUAAAUUUGGAUGAGAAAUUUGAAGAUGAAGACAAGGCAUUAUUGUUGUUGAAUUCCCUUCCUGAUGAAUAUGAUCAUCUUACCACCACAUUGCUUCAUGGGAAAGAUUCAAUCACAUUUGAUGCAGUCUGUAGUGCGUUGUAUAGAUCUGAGACUCGAAAGAAAGAUAAAAGAGAUCACAGAGAUACAACUGCAGAAGUCUUAACAGUAAGAGGUCGUUCACACAGCAGCAAACCUGGUAGAAGGGGUAAGUCCAAAGGGAGACCCGCCAAAGAUGAAUGUGCCUUUUGUCGUGAGAAAGGGCAUUGGAAAAAGAAUUGUCCUAAGUUACAAAAGGGCAAGUCUAUUUCUAAUGCAUGUGUAGCGGAGCAUGAUGAGGAGUCAGACUUUAGCUUGGUUGGCAUGGCAAUCGCAUGUCAAACGGAUGAGUGGAUAUUGGAUUCGGGAUGUACUUACCAUAUGUGUCCUAAUAAGGACUGGUUUUCUAGUCUUGAAGAACUAGAAGGUGGAGUUGUUUUUAUGGGCAAUGAUAGUGCCUGUAAGACAAUGGGUGUAGGUACAAUCAAAUUGAAGAACCAUGACGGCUCAAUCCAAGUUCUGACAGAUGUUCGCUAUGUACCCAGCUUGAAGAAAAAUCUCAUCUCAUUAGGGGCCCUAGAAUCUAAAGGGCUCACAAUCACUUUGAGAGAUGGAUUACUAAAGGUAGUAGCUGGGGUAUUGACGGUGAUGAAAGGCACUAGAAGAAAUAACUUGUACUAUUUAAAUGGAAGUACAGUUAUUGGAUCAACAUCAACAGCUUCUACGAAAGAUGCAGAUUCAGAGGCUACCAGGUUAUGGCAUAGGCGAUUGGGACAUGCUGGUGAAAAAGCUUUGCAGACUUUGGCGAAGCAAGGCUUGUUGAAAGGUGCAAAUUCUUGCAAAUUGGAAUUCUGUGAACAUUGUGUUCUGGGCAAGCAGACGAGGGUAAAAUUUGGUUCAACAAUUCACAAUACGAAAGGAAUUCUGGACUAUGUUCACAGUGAUGUGUGGGGACCUACCAAAGUGGCUUCUUUGGGAGGUAUGCACUAUUUUGUCACUUUUCUUGAUGAUUAUUCAAGAAAAGUAUGGGUGUAUCUAAUGAAAAGAAAAAAUGAAGUUUUGGAUGCAUUUCUGAAGUGGAAGAAGAUGGUGGAGACUCAGACAGGUCGAAAGGUCAAACGACUUCGAUCAGAUAAUAGUACUGAGUACAAAAAUGAUCCAUUUCUACAAGUAUGUCAAGAUGAGGGCAUUGUGCGACACUUCACUGUUCGAGAUACACCACAGCAGAAUGGGGUGGCAGAACGCAUGAAUCGGACUAUACUGGAGAAAGUUCGAUGUAUGUUGUCCAAUGCUGGAUUGAGCAAGGAAUUUUGGGCUGAGGCAGUUACAUAUGCGUGCCAUCUAAUUAACCGAUUGCCAUCAGCUGCAAUAAAUGGAAAAACUCCUAUGGAGAUGUGGACUGGUAAACCUGCUACUGAUUAUGAUUCUUUACAUGUUUUUGGUUCCACUGCAUAUUAUCAUGUAAAAGAAUCUAAGUUAGACCCAAGAGCAAAGAAAACAUUAUUCAUGGGUAUAACUGGUGGUGUAAAAGGAUACCGUCUCUGGUGUCCUGAUACAAGGAAGAUUGUUUUCAGUAGAGAUGUAACUUUUGAUGAAUCAACCAUGAUGAAGAACGAGGAUUCACAAAAGGAUGACAAAACCAGUAGUACUUUGCAGCAGGUGGAGUUUGAAAAGGUUAAUGAUGAUCCAGCUAAUAUUGAAAGAACAAAUGAUGAAGAAGUUUUGACCCAAGAACUUCUACAGCAACAAGAUUCAAUUGCAUAUAGGAGGCCAAGAAGAGAGAUUCGUAAGCCUGCUCGCUUUGACGAUGUGGUGGCCUAUGCACUUCCAAUUGCAGAUGAUGAUGUUCCUUCCACUUACACAGAAGCAAUAAGUAACUCUGAUGGUGUAAAGUGGAAGCAAGCUAUGAAUGAAGAAAUACAGUCUCUUCAUAAAAAUAGGACUUGGGAGUUGGUGAGACUGCCCAAGGGAAAGAAGGCAAUUGGAUGCAAAUGGGUAUAUGCAAAGAAGGAAGGAUUUCCUGGUAAAAAUGAAAUUCGAUACAAGGCUAGAUUGGUAGCAAAGGGUUACGCUCAGAAAGAAGAAAUAGACUACAAUGAAGUGUUUUCUCCAGUUGUGAAGCAUUCGUCUAUUCGGAUUUUGCUAGCCUUGGUUGCGCAAUACAAUCUUGAACUAGUUCAGCUUGAUGUGAAGACAGCAUUUUUACACGGUGAUUUGGAAGAGGAAAUCUAUAUGACUCAGCCUGAUGGAUUCAAUGUUGCUGAUAAAGAAAAUUGGGUUUGCAAACUGACAAAGUCGCUUUAUGGAUUGAAACAAUCUCCGAGGCAGUGGUACAAGCGAUUUGAUCAGUUCAUGAAAGGGCAAAGGUACACAAGAAGUAAAUUUGAUCAUUGCGUAUAUUUUCAGAAGCUACAAGAAGGAACUUUCAUAUACUUGCUCUUAUAUGUUGAUGAUAUGCUGAUAGCAUCUAAGAGCAAAGUUGAGAUUGAGAGAUUGAAGACUCAACUCAAUCUCGAGUUUGAGAUGAAAGAUCUAGGUGAAGCUAAGAAGAUUCUUGGCAUGGAAAUAUGUAGAGAUAGAGCUCAUGGCAGAGUUAGCUUGUCUCAGAAGCAGUAUUUGAAGAAAGUACUACAGCAGUUUGGCAUGAACGAGCAGACCAAACCUGUAAGUACCCCGUUGGCUUCUCAUUUCAAGCUUUCUGCACAACUAUCUCCUUCGACGAAUACGGAACGAGAAUACAUGUUGCAAGUUCCGUAUUCUAAUGCAGUGGGUAGCUUGAUGUAUGCAAUGGUGUGUACAAGACCCGACAUUUCACAGGCAGUUAGUAUAGUGAGCAGGUAUAUGCAUAAUCCUGGAAAAGGACAUUGGCAAGCUGUGAAAUGGAUUCUACGGUAUAUUCAGAAGACCGUGGAUGUUGGAUUACUGUUCAAGCAGGAUAAUACACUUGGUAAAGGUGUUAUUGGGUACGUUGAUUCUGACUAUGCCGGUGAUUUGGACAAGCGAAGAUCAACCACCGGUUAUGUGUUUACACUUGCUGGAGGACCAAUAAGUUGGAAGUCUGCACUACAGUCUACAGUUGCAUUGUCAACCACAGAAGCCGAGUACAUGGCUGUAACAGAGGCUGUAAAGGAGGCUAUUUGGUUACAAGGUAUGGCUAAAACCUUGGGGUUGGUUCAGGAGCAUAUUAACGUGUAUUGUGAUAGUCAAAGUGCUAUUCAUUUAGCAAAGAAUCAAGUCUAUCAUGCACGUACAAAACAUAUCGACGUACGAUUCCAUUUUGUGCGGGAAAUUAUUGAAGAGGGGAAAAUUUGUCUUCAGAAGAUCAAGACUGCAAAUAAUCCCGCAGAUAUGAUGACCAAGGUGGUAACAGCAACCAAGUUCGAACAUUGUUUGAACUUGAUUAAUAUCCUGCAAGUUUAACAGUUGAAGAAGGCACUAUCAAGUAUUGUUGUCAAAGGCAGAAAGAAUUGUGUGAAGAUAAGAUUAUCCUAAUCAAAUCUUCAAGGUGGAGAUUAUUGGAACCCACCCAUUGUUUGAAAAGUCAAAAAGGGUGGGCACCGAAAGUAGAAAGUAAAAUUGGUUGGCAAGUUGGGUUAAAAGUUGGCAUGGGAUAAUUGCAAUUUUGGUCCCUAAUUGUAUAGGGACAUUGCAAGUUGAUCCUUGAACCUCAACUAUAAAUAGGCCUAACCAUUUCUUACUUUCUUCAUCCCACACUUGCCAUUCUCUACUUAAGGCAAUUGUUCUCUCUCCCUAUUUGUAAACUUUCACUUGUAUUUUUGGAGUGAAAUAUAUUUGGUAGUGCCCGAGGACGUAGGCAAAAUUUGCUGAACCUCGUUAAAAUUCUAGUGUUCUUUAUUUUUGUUCUGCAUAUUUUGCAAGUGUUAUUGUAGUGAUUUAUUGUGCUAUUAAAUUACGAUAGAGGGAUAUUCUGGCUAGGAAAGAUCUGGUAUGUAAGCGAUCCUCGUGAUCCACCUCUCUUUCCUGGGAAUUGAACUUAGUGUGAUUUUUCAAUACAAUAAUUUUACUCUUUCACACGCUUCCGCGCAACAGGAAAUCCAUUUGCAGAGCACGCCAUUUUACUCCCAAUAUAUGCUUCCUUCAAAUAGAGAAUCCUCAAAUGACAUAGCUUUUCUAAUACCGCCAAUGGAUCUUGGCUCAGCUCACAGUCAACCAAAGUUAAUUUGACAAUAUUUGAUGGAAGAAAUUUCAAAACAUGACCGUUCGGAUGUGGCUCAUCUUCUAUCCCACCCACUAAUUUCAGUUUGGAGAGGUGAUAAUAUUGAGAAAGGGGUUCUAAGUCUAGGUUUGAGCUAUCAGAAAAUUUCAAGGACACUGACCUAAGGCGUUGCAAUUUGGUUAGCAAGGUUAGGGUAAGCUUCACAUAUUUUGCUCUGGUAAAUGCUAUUCCUAAACUCUGAAUAUUAGUCCACCUAAGCACCGCAUUAUUUUCAACCGGCUUCCCAUCCACCUCUAUGAACUUCAAAGUUUCAAUAUUUUUUGAAGUGAACCCUUGCCGCCAACGAAAUCCAGAUGAGGAAUAUUUCCUAGACUUUAUUACAAUAUGCCUUAAACGUUCUAACUUAAACACACCAUCUGGAAUUACAAUGUCAUAACAAAACUUGAUGUACAAAGUGUACAGAUUCUUCAACCUGCCAAUAGAUCGCGGCAAAAUCAUUUUGUCAUUGUAGUAUAACUUCAAGUAUCUCAAAUGUUGGAGAUUACCAAUUUCAGUCGACACAUGCCACCACUUAUUGCCCCUUUUUGCAAGAGUCAACACCCUUAAAAAUUUGAAGCUUUUGUAUUUUGAAAUGCAUAAUUCUACCAAUCUCACAUUCUGAGAAAACAACAAAGAGCGUAAUUUUGGAUGCUCUCCCUUCAAAUAAACUUUCGAAUGUCUAGGAUGAAUAGAAAUUCUUCGUAGCAUAGAUUCUGCCAAUGUCACUUCAAGUUCAUACAGUGGUUGUUGAAUAAUUUCCAAGAACUUCUCCUCUCUUGCUUUCUUCGUGCACAAGUCCCUCAAGAGAUCAUGCACUCGACAUGUCUCCACAUUUGUUCCUGUAUAGUCUCGCCUGCUAACUUGAACCAAGCUCCUAUCUAUAAGCUCUUCUAGGAAUUUUUCGCCUAAAUCCUCCAUCAAGAAUUCUUCAUUUUCCGGAAUGAAACCUUCAGCGAUCCAUAAACGAAUGAGUUCCUUUUUCGGUAUCUCCCUAUCUUCUGGAUAAUGACUAAGAUACAAAAAGCAUGGUUUUAAAGGAUAAGGCAAGUCAUUGUAGCUUGAAACCAAAAUUCUGUUCACUGCCCCAUAUUGACGAUCUUGAUGUGGGAGCUCAUUUAAGUGUCCAUGGAUGUUUUUAUGAACCAUCUCCCAUUGAGCCACUGACUGUUUUGUUGCCAGCAAGCAACCCAACACAACAAUUGCUAAAGGCAAGCCUCCACAUUUUUUCACCAUCUCUUUUCCAAGCUUCACAAAUUCUUCUGAGCAGCAUUGAGAAGCCAUUUUGCUCCGUGGGAAUGCUUUCCUACACAAAAGAUUCCAACUUUCAUCAUCUGUAAGAAGUGAGAGCUCCACGGGAGUGCUCCAAGGAUCGGCACGUGAAGCCACAUUUUUUAUUCGUGUUGUGAACAAAAUUUUGCUUCCCUUUCUUCCUCGUGGAAAAGCAGGUUUAAGAAUAUCCCAGUCCUCACUUCUCCAAAUAUCAUCGAGGACCACCAAAUACCGCUUUUCUUUCAAAGCAUCAAAAAGCGUUCUCCUCAGCUCAAUCUCGUCCAUUUUCUCAAUUUUCUCUCUUUCAUCGUUAGAAGGAGAGAGAACUUUUUCAUCGUUAGAAGGAGAGAGAACUUUCUUCAAGACACUAAGCCAAACUUCUCUCGGCUUACAUUGUUGUGAGAUAGAAAACCAAGCCAAGAAAUCAAAAUGGUGUCUCACAUCAACAUGAUUAUAUACUUUUCUGGCAAGAGUAGUCUUACCGAGGCCUCCCAUGCCGACUAUGGAAACCACGGCGUGGGGUCUAUCUUCUUCAAACAUCAACAUGGUCAUGACAUCCUUCGUGCUAACUUCCAAGCUAACAACAUCCUCUUCCUCGACAUGUGAGUAUGUCCUUCUAAACUGUUGCUGCACCUUGAAAAUUGAGCUAGAGCCUUCUCCAUCAUCGGGUAUUUCAAAAGCUGGAAGAUUCUCGGAAAUGUUUUGGAGCUUGGUCUUGAUUGCUUUGACCUGCACCCCGAUUUUGUGCAGAUGAUAAGGUUUGGUGAAAAUGGAGGUGAAUCUCUUGACAAUCCCAUGAAAACCUCGUUGGUGUGCUGCUUUAAGAAUAAAAGAGUCGAUGGCAUCUUCAGCAUCAUAAGCAAGAUCUCUGAUUUCCCACACCCGAUUCUGGAAAUGCGCAUCCUGUUCAAACUUGCUAUCCGCGUCCUUCAAGAAACACUGCAUUCGCGUCAGUUCAGCCCUUAGGCUCUCAACUUGAUCUUUCACAUCUUUGAGGAAAACAGCUUCAUGGAUGAGUAGAUCUGAAAUUCUUUCAACAGCUAAGGACACAAUAGCCUCUUCCAUUUCUCCUGCUGGUCCAGAACAGAUUCCACAAACUGAUCUGCAAGUAUUAGUAGAAUAUUUUUUGUAUUAGUGGAUAAGUAUCUCUCUUUAUCAGAAGUUUUGAAGAGCUGUUUUUGGGUGUGAGGUUGGUAAUUACUGUUCUUUGGACAGCAAAUAGCUGAACUUAUUAUUAUUAUUAUGGAACGUAACUUUUUUUUAAUAAAAUAACAUAUAUUCAAACUUAACAUGUGGAUAACCCUUGUCCUAAGUUAGUUGUAUCCCUUCUAACAUCAAUCUUGCUUUAAUUUUAUACACUUCAUAUUUCUUUAAUGUCAUCGACUAACCACAUAAUUAAUUACUAUUAACAUAUUUAAUGACUCUUCCAAUUGUAAUUGAGUGAGCGCUAGACGAAAUUACACCAUCUGUAUUAAGCUUAACCUAACCACUUUCUAGAACUAACCAUUUUAAAUCAAAAGCCAUAAAAUUCGAAUGGAACAUAGCCAUUGAGGGUGGUGAAUAACUUCUCGUCCAACUGAUACCAUCUACCACAUCCUAAAUAGAGCUAUAACUAUCGAAAAGGACAAACAUAUUCCUAUUUUUCUAUAAUAACCAACAUAUUGUUAUUGAUUAAUAGUAAUGUUUAUAGAAAAAUAUAGAGUAAAUCAAAUUUAUUUUGAUAUCAAUAGAUGUUGAUUUAAUAAUGAAAAAUUCAUAACAAUUAUAAAAUAAUUUCUUCCAAUUAAAAAGCAAUUUUUUUUCUUUUUAUCUUUUUAAGAAAGACAAGGCAAGUGGACACAAAAUUCAUUAAAUUUUAAAAGUUAUAAAAUGAUAAUUGAACUAUUUAAAUAUUUUUAUUUUAGUCACUGAUCUAUUCAAUAAUUUUUAUUUAAGUCAUUAGAUUAUUAGCUUUUUUUUCAAACGUCUGAUUAGUUAGGUUAAAGCAACAAUUCGAUGAAUGGUACAAUGGAUCAAUACUCAUUGACGAGUAGAAUAACAUUUACUAGAUCAAGUCAAUUUGAUGGUUGGUGCCGAAGAACGGAGAACAAAACUAUUUAGAUUUAAAUUCGUAGAUACGUGACAUUUGAAGUUGUUUUAUUAAAAAAAAAAACUUAAACUAUAGACAAGCAGGGGUAGAAGAGUUAGCGGGCAAACAAUGAAGGACAUAUAGUAGUGAUUUUAACAACUUAAUGACUUAAAGAAAACUUUUGAAUAAUUUAGUGACAAUUUUGUAACUUUUUAAUGUUAAACGAUUAAAACGUAAACUUACUAAUAGUUUAAUGGCCUUGAAUGUAGUUUACUCCAAUUAUUUAUUAUUUUUAAUGUGUUGUUUUUUUUUACCUUACCUAAAUUACCCAUAAGUAAACUUCAUAAAUUCCAAAAAGUGGAGGAUAGUACGCGUUUAUUAAUGUUCAAACCCAUGUCCUCCAAUUCUUUUUUGCCCGGCCAAUAUAAAAUUUUAUACAGAACGAAAGGACGACUUGGAAAACAACAGUACAAAGAAUGUCGAAUGAAAAUAAGAGAAAAAAUUGAGAAAAUAAAACAAUCACGAUUUUUUUUGUAAAAUUUAAUGGUAAAAAAAAAGUUUUAUAUAAGAGGAGAAAUUUAUUUAUUUGAGGGAGUUUCAUAUAUAAUUUAAAUUUAGAAUUUCAAAACUCAUAACCGUGAAAAAAGUUGUUCAAUAAUUUUUACUUGGUUUGUUCCUACAACCGUUAUAUUAGAGUUUAUCACGUAUGGAUCCGUGUUUGUUUUUCUUUUAGAGUGGGUUUGGAUAGGCAGUAGAGUGCGGUGCAGCGGUGCAAUACGUUUAGUUUAUUUUUUAUCUCACGUUACAGUGUUGUUACAGUAUCUAAUCUCACCGUCAUCGCUAUUAUUACACUAACCGCAGGUAACCGUACCGCACAUCCAAACUCACCCGUAGUUUAUCACAUAUAAUCGUCUCUUUCCUUUCCCUUUUAUAGAUAGUAAGAGGUGUUUAUUGGUUCGAAUUAAGUUUAUGUUUAUUUAAAAUUAUCCAGUUUAAGAACUUAUUUUGUUAUGUCCAUUUAUAUUUAUAACUGGCAUAUGUUCGUCUAUUUUAAACCUGUAAUUUUUAAAUAUAUAUUAUUCUUAAUUUAAUAUUUAAUAUUUUUAAUAAUAUUUUUAUUAAAAUUGAAAUUUAUACAAUAUUUUUUAUGUUUAAAUAAAAUUUAUACAAAACUCUAAAGUGAGUUGGGUUUAGAGGUGAUCAUGGGUUGGACUACUCGUCCCGGCCUGACAGCUCGUCCGAAAAAUGGGAGAGUUUGGGUAAAAAUAUAGGCCCGAAAUAUGAGUUUGGGAAAAAAAGAGGCCCGUUUAGAAAACGAGCCGAGCCUCGAGUAAAACUUUUUUGGCCGGGCCCGGCUCGAAUUAUAUAUUAAAUAUAUAAUUUUUAUUUUAAUCAAAUAUACCUCUAAUUCUGGUUGGUUGAUUAUAUUUUGCAGGUAUUUAAUGCUAUUUUGGUGUUGUAAAAUUUAAUAUGGGUCGGGUCGGGCCGAGCCUAGCCCAUGAUCACCUCUAGUUGGCUUAGGUUUGAGAGAGUUGAAGCUUAACCAGAAUCAAGUUUUUUUUUUUUUUUUUUACUUUAGUCCAAUUUUUAGAUCUUGUUUUUUUUUUCUUUUGAGAAAUAAAAAAUAGAUGCCAUCAAACUUGAAAAUUGAAUACAACCUCUGCAUGUGUACCACACAUCCUACUCUCCUACAUCUGUUAAUCGGUGGAGUAGUUCUUAAUUAAUUGAAAAGUUGUAUCAUACUCAAUUCUUACGGGACUUUAAUCAUCCGAUCUAAAAGAAACAAAGAAUCAAACCCUAAAAAUCAACUACAUCCUAAUUUUUAGAAAAAAAGAAAAAAAAAUCUAUCAAUUUCUCCUUUAGCAAUCCACUCUUUCAUCUACCACCAUCGUUCCACCUUGAAAUAAUCUAUACUUUUAGUAUCCUUGAUGGAAAUUCUUGUAGAAAAAAAAAUCGUUUUAUUCGGUUUUUUUUUAUAUAUAAGAUUGACCUUUUAGCUUAAAUAAAUAAUUGAACUCAUAAAUAAAGGCUUUUUUUAUAAAAAUAAUUCAAAAAUUUUUAUUAUUUAUGAAAACAAUCCAUUUUUUAUUAAACAUGUAAAUGAUCUAAAACCUAUAGUAAAAGUUGGUGGAGUCAAAGAGUUUGGCGUCACCAACAUACCAUAUCAGCAAACGAGAAAAAAAAUUUAUUUAUUUUGGUAGAACCAUGUAGAACGACAUCACUUAUAUAAAUAUUAUUUUUGAAAAAUUAGAAGAAUUUAAAAAAAAUACAUUUUUUCUAAUGAAGCUAAAUAAUUUAACGCUACAAAUUUCUAAAAUUACCUACAUCAUCUAUUUUUAAAAUAUCGUUAUUUGAUGUCAUUUAUGUAUUUAAUAAAAAUAAAUAAUCAAAUUUUUUUUUAUAAAAAAGCCUUAAUAGAUAAUUUAUCAAUUACCAAAUCAAUCAAACUAUUCAAUCAAACAAGGCAAGUUUUAGGCUCAUUCGGAAAAGCCACAGUCCACUCCCGCAGAGCAGCCAUAGCAUAUUUAAUUAUUCAAAAGCCGUGUGCCGUUCGACUAAAACAAAAUUCCAAAAAUAAAAACAAAAUUGCUUGUAGAAAAAGCUUUAGGUGGACACAAAAUUCCAAAAGGGCCAACAGAUUGUCCACACAUUGGGAAUAAAACUUGUUUGCAAUAUCUACAUUGGCAGCCAUACAAUAAAAUUGUAGGAAACUGACAUUAGUAGGCCAACCCUCAUUUUCAUUUCUUCCAAUUAACAGCUAUUUGAACACCCAACAGUCGUUGCUCGUAAUUGAUAGGAUAAGAUCAAACGAAAAAAUAAUAAUUAUUUGGAUCAAUUAUAUUCAACUUCACUAAAUUAUUAUUAAAUUUAUAUUUUAAUUAUUUAACUUUAAAAAAAUUAUAAGAUAGUUAUUGAAACAUUUAACAGUUUUCAUUUAAGUCAUUAAACUAUUUAAAAUUUUUUGUUUAAGUCAUUGAACUAUUAAGUUCUUUUUUAAAAAAAAAAAGUAGUUUGGCUUUUGAGGAUCAAGCGACAAUUCGAUGAACAGUACAAUGGAUCAAUACUCAUCAACGAGUAAAAGAACAUAUAUUAGACUAAGUCAAUUUGAUGGUCGGUAUUGAAAAACUGUUUGGAUUUUAGUUCGUAGAUACGUGAUAUUUAAAGUUGUUUUAUUAAAAAAUCCUAAAUUGUAGAAGAGUAAGGGCAAAGAGUUUAUUAUUGGUGCAGGUGAUGUCAACAAUAAAUGCCAUAUAACAAAAAUUUUAAUAGUUCAAUAACAUAAAUGAAAACUUUCGAAUAAUUUAAUGACCAUAUUGUAGCUUUUUAAAAUUAAUUGACCAAAAUAGUAAUUUAGUGACCUUUAGUGUUAUUUACUCUAAUUAUUUAUUAUUUUUACUGUGUUAUUUUUUAUACAAUACUUAAAUUACUCAUAAAUAAAUUUCACAAUCCGGAUAUUACACCCUUAUUAAGGUUGAAACCCACACCCCAAAUGUUUUUUGCCCGGUUAAUAAUUUUUUUUUAUCAAAAAUGAAAGGACCACUUAGAAAAUAUAGUAUAAAGAAUGUUGAAAGAAAAUAAGAGAAAAUAGACUAGUACAAUAAACAAUAAAUAAAUUUCUAAGCUUUAAAUAUAAAUCUUUCCUUAAAAUCCAUCAACUUAAUAAAUCGACGAAGAAUCAAUUAAUGUUGAGCUUCUUUGCAGGCUUGCAUUUGGAGAUGAAAGAAAGCUCCAACCCUACUAGCAACAACAUGAAAUUGGUAUAUCAUCUUUAAUCUAUACUAAUAAUAAUGAUAAAAAAGAACUUAAAAUAGAAAUUAUGAAAUGAUACUGCAAGUUUCUUUUUAGAAAAAAACGAAAAAGAAGUAGAGAAGUGACUAUUAUUUUAGAGAAAUAAAUUUCUAAUGCACCUAUUUAGAUAUAAGCAAAUUACUGUAUUUGGAUAGAGGGAAUGUGGCCUACUUCAUAGAAAUCCUCUCCUCUUUCAUCUAUCACUUUUAUUAUUUCUUUCAAUGACUAUUAACAUUGACCAAUUCCAAUCUUCAAAGGCAUGGCAUUGCACUCCUUCAACCCUGGUAGAAAUCUAAUUUCAAGAGCAUCAAGUUGAGGAAACCCAUUGGCAAAGCAUAUAAUCUUACUCUCAUCAUAUGUUAAACUCUCUAACUUCAGAAUCCUCAAACAAGGUAACUUUUCCAACACACCCAUUGGAUCAUGGAUCAUCAUAGAGUCAUCUAAAGUUAACUUGACAAUACUUGACGGAAGAAAUUCCAAAACAUGAUGGCUCUGAUGUGGAUCUUCUUUUAUAUGCCCUAUUAACUUCAAUUUGGAGAGGUGACGACACUAAUAAAGAGGUUCCAAUAUGAAGAAUGAGUUGACUUGUCAUGGUUCAUAUAGUCAAGCAAACACAUGUACAAUGACCCAAGGCGAUCCAAUAUGAUUAGCAACAGAAAGAUAGACUUAAUAUCUUUUGAACUCUUAAAUGUUAUUCCUAAACAUUGAAUACGAGUCAACCUAAGUGCCUCAUUAUUUUCAAUAAACUUCUUAUUUACCAUCAUGCGCUUCAAAGUUUCAAUAUUUUUUUGAAGAAAAGCUUUGGCACAGGAGAAAACAACUUUUUUAACAUGGGUAUGUAUACCAUUUCAUCACAAAUUGCCUUAAACAUUCCAACUUGAAUACUACAUUUGGAAUUACAGAGUCAUAAUGGCAUUAGAGGUACAAAGUGUGUAAAUUCUUCAACUAAUUUCCAAUAGCCCAUGGCAAGAGUAUUUUGAGUUUGCAUCUUAAGCUCAAAUGAUGGAGAUUACCAAUUUCACUUGACACAUGCAACUCCUCAACAUUCCUCGUAAGUUUCAAGAAAAGAAAAACUAACGUGAAAUUGAGAAAUUGAAAGGGAAAGUUUGAAACAAAAAGAAUCUACAGAGGUAGAAAAAAACUAGCAGCAAAUGUGAAAACAAAAGAAGAGUGGAAAAGAUGGGAAAGUGGGGAAGUUGGACAUGGGAUGGAGAAACGUGGGAGAAUUUUGGAGAAAUAUUUUUAAUUAAUUUUUUCUUAAAAAAAUAUUAUCCUAUAACCAACAUAAUUUUUUUGAUAACCUAUCUAUUUAUUCAUAAUUCAAAUUUAACUAAACCGGGAGCUCCAAAAAUAAUUUUUGCUUUACAGGGAUUCAAACACGAGAUUUCUAAGCAAGUUGAAACUUUAUUAUUAAACUACUAAAUUCAUUCUUAUUAAUAAUUAAGCAAAAAUAACAUAUUAGAAUAUAGGAAGUUGUUAAUUAGUUAUGAGUCUGGUAAGGUUGUUGUGAAGUAUAGACUGAAUAUUGACCCAAAUGCAAAUGGGGUUCCGUCGUCUAAUUUUGUUCAAGUUGAUCAAAGUGAUCCCGGCUCACCUGAACCGAUUGGCGUUGAUAGAGUUUUACGAUUUACCAAACCGCGUGCUCAGGUUUGACUGGGUUCGAACCAUGUAUUGGGCUUCCUCGGCUAGGGGACUUACAUGCAUCUGAGUAUUCCGAUCCUUCAGAAUCUGGCUCUCAUGUCAAUACUGCUCAACUUGGGUUUGGUACUAGUAAAGAUGACCCAUACGUUCCAGUGCAAGGUGGCACCACAACUUGGUAUCCUGACUCGGGAGCUAGUCAUCAUGUCUGUCGUGAUGUGUCAGCUUUACAUGAUGUCACACCAUAUUCAGGUACGUCAUCUCUUUUAAUGGGUGAUGGUACUCCUGCGGUAAUUUCGUCAAUUGGUACUGCUAUUUUACAUACUCAAUAUAAGUCGUUGCGAUUAUCAAAUGUCUUAUGUGUGCCAAGUAUACGGAAAAACCUCUUAUCCGUCUCACAGUUUGCUCGUGAUAAUGGUGUGUUUUUUUAGUUUCAUCCUAACCAUUGAGUUAUUAAGGAUACGGUGACUCGGGAGACAUUGCUGACGGGCCGCAUUCAUGAUGGACUUUAUCACUUUUCUGUGCCAGUGGGGUCUACUCCGUCUACGGUUGCUCCAUUUGUUGCUCAUUCGCAAGUUCCACAGUAGUUUCAAAUAAUAAUGUGUUUGCUUUAUGGCAUAAUCGUUUAGGCCACCCAUCAACUUCUGUGGUCAAAACAGUUUUAAAUAAAUGUAAUGUUGCUUCAAGUAAAAAUAGUUUGGAUGGUAUAUGUACUGCAUGUCAAAAAGGCAGGUCACAUAAGUUGCCCUUCUCCCCUUCGACUACUAGCUAUCGUCCUUUUGAGUUGGUUGUGUCUGAUCUUUGGGGUCCUGCACCUGUUGCAUGUGGUGAUAAAAGAUAUUAUGUUUCAUUUAUUGAUAUGAGUACUCGGUUUACUUGGGUUUAUCUUUUACGUCAAAAAGCUCAAGCACUAGAAUGCUUUACUCAGUUUCAACAGUUAAUUAAGACACAGUUUGGCAAGUCUAUUAAGCAGUUCCAGAGCGAUUGGGGAGGCGAAUACCGUGGUUUUACGUCUGUCUUAGAAUCUCAAGGAAUCAUACAUCGACUAACGUGUCCGUAUACUUCAGAACAAAAUGGAGUGGCUGAGCGUAAGCAUCGCCACAUUGUUGAAGUAGGUAUUACAUUGUUGGCUCACGAAAGUUUGCCUCUGGAAUACUGGGGGUAUGCGUUUUGCUGUGCAGUUCAUCUUAUAAAUCGACUUCCUACUGUUGUACUUCAAGACAGUUCUCCGUUUAAGGCACUAUAUGGACAUGAUCUGACCUAUGAUCAUCUUCGAGUGUUUGGCUGCUGUUGUUAUCCGUACUUACGUCCGUUUGUAAGGAAUAAAUUGGACUUUCGGUCUCAGCCGUCUACAUUGUUGGGAUACAGUCCUCGUCACAAGGGGUAUCAAUGUCUUUUACCAGAUGGUAAGGUUAUAAUAUCAAGGCAUGUGGUAUUUGAUGAACAGAGAUUUCUGUUUGCUGAGACUAUUCCAGACAAGUCUAUGUUGACGACCACUCAGACUAGUUCGACUACUGUUCCUUUCGUGUGGCCGUCUUAUUCCUCAACUCUUGAGCCUUGCAUGAUGACACAGUCUUUACAAGGGUUGCAAUCUCCGUCUGCUGAUCCUGCAUUAGGUGUUAAUUUAGAGCAGUCUCAGUCUCGUGAUUCUUCAGCUGAUAUCGGGACUGGGUCGGGUAAUCUCCCAGUUCAUGGUUCGUCAGCUAAUGAUGGGACUGAAUUGAGUGAUCCUCCAGCAGUGCAUGGCUCGGGAUCAUCAAGUGAUAAUUCUCAUUCUACUAUGAGAAUGUCUGCAGGUGUUUGAUCGGCAUCUGAUAGUCAGAUUAGUAGGCCACCUAUGGGUAAUACUUACCCAAUGGUCACUCGAGCUAAAGCGGGGGUUUACAAACCUAAGGUUUUAAAUGUUGAAGCUGUUGAACCGACUACGAUUGAAGAAGCUCUGGCUACUGUUGAGUGGCGCGAUGCUGCGCAAGCUGAGUAUGAUGCUCUUAUGUGUAAUUCCACAUGGGAGCUUGUUCCCACUCCGUCUAAUCGUAAGAUCAUUGGGUGCAAAUGGUUGUUCAGAAUCAAGAAGAAUUCUGAUGGUACUAUUGCUCGACAUAAGGCUCGUUUAGUCGCAAAAGGAUGCUCCUAAGUUCUAGGUUGUGACUUUAAGGAAACGUUUAGUCCAGUGGUCAAACCGGCUACUAUCAGAGUUAUUUUCUCUAUUGCUGUGUCUAAGUGGUGGUUGCUUCGGCAAGUUGAUGUGAAUAAUGCGUUUCUAAAUGGCGAUCUGGACACUGAAGUUUUUUUGCAUCAACCUCCUGGUUAUGUUCAAUAUGACUCACAUGGUAGACCUUUGGUGUGCCGUCUGAAGAAAGCGUUGUAUGGUCUUCGUCAGGCUCCUCGUGCCUGGUUUGAGAAGUUAAAAGGAUUUCUACUCUCUGUGGGGUUUGUGGUAUCAAAGUCUGAUGCUUCUUUGUUUGUUCGAGUGGUAUCAGCUUCAACAUUGUAUGUUUUGGUAUACGUUGAUGAUAUCAUUAUUACUGGUGAUGUGCCUUCUGUUAUAGAGUGGUUUGCUAAGUUGCUGAAUAAUAAGUUCUCACUUAAGGACAUGGGUGAUCUCCAUUAUUUUCUUGGGAUAGAGGUUACUCGUUCUUCCUCCGGUUGUCUUCAUCUAUGUCAGAAGAAGUAUAUUCGUGAUAUUCUCAUAAGGUGCUCGAUGGAAAAUGCGAAGAGUGUUCACACUCCGAUGAUUAGUUCCUCUAUCUUAACUAGAGAUGGUGGGGAACGUUUGGAGGAUCCAACUGAAUAUAGGAGUCUUGCAGGAGCAUUACAGUAUGUUACUCUUACGCGGCCUGACGUUGCGUAUGCUGUAAAUCGAAUAUGUCAGUUUAUGCAUUGUCCCACUUCCAUACAUAUGACCGCUCUGAAGCGGAUUUUGAGGUAUCUAGGUGGAACGAUUGAUUUUGGGAUUGUAUUUCGUCCGUCUACCUUUUUGUCAUUAGUUGGGUAUGCUGAUGCAAACUGGGGUUUAGAUUUUGAUGACCGGAGAUCUACUACUAGAUACUGUGUGUAUUUUGGACAUUCUCCUGUCUCGUGGUGUACGAAAAAAUAGCAGGUUGUUGCUUGGUCUACUGCUGAGGCAGAGUACCGAAGUCUUGCUGCAGUUACUAGUGAGGUUACGUGGCUUUUAUCGUUACUUCAAGAGUUGCAUGUUCAGUCUACUAGCAUUCCUGAUAUUUGGUGUGAUAGUUCUGGGGCGGUUGCAGUUGCUGCUAAUCCUGUUCUUCAUUCCAAGUUUAAGCACGUUGAGUUAGAUUUAUUUUUCGUUCGUGAAAAAGUAGCUAAUGGUAUUAUUGCUGUUGGCGAGGUUCUAGCUUGUGAUCAAGUUGUUGAUGUUCUUACUAAACCGCUUUCACUUUCGAAUUUUACUCGAUUUCGGAGUUUUCUACAGGUGUUACCUGUGGAGAAGAUGGAUGAAUAUUAGAAUAUAGGAAGUUGUUAAUUAGUUAUGAGUCUGGUAAGGUUGUUGUGAAGUUUAGACUAGUCAACAAAGUCUAUAAAUACUGUAAGUUGAGAAUUCAGAAGUAAGCAAUUUUGAAUACAAGAGAAAGAAAUUCAUUUUAUCCUCUCUUUUAUUUCUGUUUGGCUAGUUCUUUCAUAACAUAUAAUCGAAAUAUUCAAGGAUUGGGGACGGAACAAAAAAUAACAAAAAAUUUUUAAAAAAAAGAUUUGCCGUAACUUCUGUUUCAUCAGUAGGCUUGUCUCAUAUAUAUCAGAGUAAAACUGCUUACAAAUGUGAGGCUAAGAUUUUUACGUUUCAGAAACAUGUAUAUAUAAUGCUUCUUGGUUGGUCGAAAAUGAAGCAUAUAACACGGUUAUCUUAGUACAUAGAGUUCCCUGAAUUUACUACAUUUUGAUUUGUGUAACCUUAUUAAAACAAGUCUUCAAUAUCAGUUGCUACUUUGUUGUUAUUGUUUAUAGGAAGAAUAAAUUAUGUGAAACUCAACUUUCUUAAGCACACUAACUUUUGUGAAUUUAGAUUAAAAGGGAGUUUAGUUCACAAAAUAUUUGAUUAACUUGACAAUUAGUGCAUUACUAGAUAUGUUAAAGUACCGCGUUUGGUUCAAGGUAAAAGUUGAAAUAAUUCUAGACUCAAAGAUAUUUAAUUAUCGGUUUGUUCUUAGUAUAUAGUAAAUGAGUAAAAAGUUUUGAUUAAAAAAAACUUUAUGGAAUUAUUAAUAUAAUUGAUUAAACAGUUAAAAAUUUUAAAAUGAUUAAUGUCGACUCUUUUUAUAAAAUAUUCGGGUGGGGAUUGGUAUAAAUCUGUUAAAAAAAUUUAAUCAUCAUUCCACAUAAGUCAAGGUUAAUAUAAAUCUGUUUUAUAUAUUUUGUUAUAAGAAAACGCACAUAUUUUUGUUAUGUCAUAUAAAUAUACAUGUUAUAUGUUUUGAUUAACAUUGUAUCAUCUAAUUUUUAAUUGAAAUAGUGAGUUGUAAAUUUAAAUCGGUUAUUUUACUAUUUAAAUAAUGAAUUUAACCAUUUAACAUCUAAUGAGUUAUUUAGAAUUUCUUUCUUCGGUUUAAAUUGAUUAAUUUCAAUUAAAUAGAUGCAAAUGAAGAACCAAUUAAUAAGAAGAUAAUUUUUUAAAAAAAUAAGCAAAUUGGGAGGCCGGAAACGAGCCUUAGAUAUAUAGCAAACAAUCACUUCAUUCAAAGCUCAUGGUAUAUAGCAAUCCAAUUCUUAUAAAAAUACAUAUACACACUUAAUGAAAUUAGAUAUCUCGGGAAAGUGCAUUCUAGUGCUGAUUAGAUAACCUGCAUCAAGAAGAAAAAUGGUAUGUACAUAUCAUCAUCUCUUAUGUAUAAUAAUUAAAAAUAUGAAAUAAUAAAAUGAUACUAAAAUUUUAGUUUUUCUAGAAAAUGAUUCGAAAUUCUUAUUUUUUUAUAUUUUAAUUACAAUUUUUAUGGUAAUUAAAGAUAUAUUCAUCUAUUGUAUUAUUUUAUCAAUAUUAUAUUAAUCUCUAACUCUAUGGGUGAAAAAGAAAAGAAAAAAGAAUGUAAAAAUUAUUAUUUUAUAGAAAUAAAUACCUCACCUGAUGUUGGCUCCUAUUAUUUUGGCAUCAAAAAAUGUCGGAUGAAGGGAAUGUGGCGCACUUUAUAGAAUUCCUCUCCUUCUCUUCCAUCUAUCACUUUAAUCCUUUCUUUCAAUGACGAAGAUAUUCCUAUUAAAUUCAAUUUUUGGAGAGUAGUCAUGUAUCUCAAUCCUUCUGGAAGCAUCCUUAAACUCUCAACAUUGGCCAACGUCAAUUCUCGAAGGCAUGGCAUUGCACCUUCUUCUAUUUCCCACUCCUCCAACAUAAUUAACAUAAUUAAAAGAUAAUCAAGUUUAGGAAAUCCAUUUGCAGAGCACACCAUUUUACUCCCAAUAUAUGCUCCCUUCAAAAAGAGAAUCCUCAAAUGACAUAGCUUUUCUAAUACCGCCAUUGGAUCUUGUCUCAGCCCACAGUCAAACAAAGUUAAUUUGACAAUAUUUAAUGGAAGAAAUUUCAAAACAUGACCGUUCGGAUGUGGCUCUUCUUUUAUCGGACCCAGUAAUUUCAGUUUGGAGAGGUGAUAAUAUUGAGAAAGGGGUUCUAAGUCUAGGUGUGAGCAAUAAAAAAAACAUAAGGACACUGACCUAAGGCGUUGCAAUUUGGCUAGCAAGAUUAGGGUAGGCUUCACAUAUUCUGCUCUGGUAAAUUCUAUUCCUAAACUCUGAAUAUUAGUCCACCUAAGCACCGCAUUAUUUUCAGCCGCCUUCUCAUCCACCACUAUGAACUUCAAAGUUUCAAUAUUUUUUGAAGUGAACCCUUGCCGCCAACGAAAUCCAUCUACGUGGAAUUUCCCAACCGAUUUUAUUACAAUAUGCCUUAAACGUUCUAACUUAAACACACCAUCUGGAAUUACAAUGUCAUCACAAAACUUGAUGUAUAAAGUGUACAGAUUCUUCAACCUGCCAAUAGAUCGCGGCAAAAUCACUUUGUUAUUGUAGUAAAACUUCAAGUAUCUCAAAUGUUGGAGAUUACCAAUUUCAGUCGACACAUGCCACGGCUGAUUGCAGUCGCUCCUUUUUGCAAGAGUCAACACCCUUAAAAAUUUGAAGCUUUUGUAUUUUGAAAUGCACAAUUCUACCAAUAUCUCAGAAUGAGAAAACAACAAAGAGCGUAAUUUUGGAUGCUUUCCCUUCAAAUAAACUUUCGAUUCACUAGGAUGAGUAGAAAUUCUUCGUAGCAUAGAUUCUGCCAAUGUCACUUCAAGUUCAUGCAGUGGUUGUUGAAUAAUUUCCAAGAACUUCUCCUCUCUUGCUUUCUUCAUGCAAAAGUCCCUCAAGAGAUCAUGCACUCGACAUGUCUCCACAUUUGUUCCUGUAUAGUCUCGCGUGCUAACUUGAACCAAGCUCCUAUCUAUAAGCUCUUCUAGGAAUUUUUCGCCUAAAUCCUCCAUCAAGAAUUCUUCGUUUUCCGGAAUGAAACCUUCAGCGAUCCAUAAACGAAUGAGUUCUUUUUUCGGUAUCUCCCAAUCUUCUGGAUAAUGACUAAGAUACAAAAAGCAGGGUUUUAAAGGAUAAGGCAAGUCAUUGUAGCUUGAAACCAAAAUUCGGUUCACUGCACCAUAUUGACGAUCUUGGUGUGGGAGCUCAUUUAAGUGUCCAUGGAUGUUUUUAUGAACCAUCUCCCAUUGAGCCACGGACUGUUUUGUUGCCAGCAAGCAACCCAACACAACAAUUGCUAAAGGCAAGCCUCCACAUUUUUUCACCAUGUCUUUUCCAAGCUUCACAAAUUCUUCUGAGCAGCAUUGAGAACCCAUUUUGCUCCGUGGGAAUGCUUUCUUACACAAAAGAUUCCAACUUUCAUCAUCCGUAAGAAAUGAGAGCUCGAUGGGAGUGUUGCAAGAAUCGGCUCGUGAAGCCACAUUCCUGUUGCGUGUUGUGAACAAUAUUUUGCUUCCCUUUCUUCCUCGUGGAAAAGCAGGUUUAAGAAUAUCCCAGUCCUCGCUUCUCCAAAUAUCAUCGAGGACCACCAAAUACCGCUUUUCUUUCAAAGCAUCAAAAAGCGUUCUCGUCAGCUCAAUCUCGUCCAUUUUCUUAAUUUUCUCUCUAUCAUUGUUAGAAGGAGAGAGAAAUUUCUUCAAGACACUAAGCAAAACCUCUCUCGGCUUACAUUGUUGAGAGAUAGAAAACCAAGCCAAGAAAUCAAAAUGGCGUCUCACAUCAACAUGAUUAUAUACUUUUCUGGCAAGAGUAGUCUUACCGAGGCCCCCCAUGCCGACUAUGGAAACUACGGCGUGGGGUCUAUCUUCUUCAGUCAUCAAUUUGGUCAUGACAUCCUUGGUGCUAACCUCCAAGCUAACAACGUCCUCUUCCUCGACAUGUGAGUAUGCCCUUCUUAACCGUUGCUGCACCUUGAAAAUUGAGCUAGAGCCUUCUCCAUCACCGGGUAUCUCAAAAGCUGGAAGAUUCUCGGAAAUGUUUUGGAGCUCGGUCUUGAUUGCUUUGAGCUGCACCCCGAUUUUGUGCAGAUGAUAAGGUUUGGUGAAAAUGGAGGUGAAUCUCUUGACAAUCCCAUGAGAAUCUCGUUGAUAUGCUGCUUUAAGAAUAAAAGAGUCGAUGACAUCUUCAGCAUCAUAAGCAAGAUCUCUGAUUUCCGACACCCGAUUCUGGAAACGCGCAUCUUGUUCAAGAUUGCGAUCCGCGUCCUUCAAGAAACACUGCAUUCGCUUCAGUUCAGCCCUUAGACUCUCAACUUGAUCUUUCACAUCUUUGAGGAAAACAGCUUCAUGGAUGAGUAAAUCUGAAAUUCUUUCAACAGCUAAGGACACAAUAGCCUCUUCCAUUUCUCCUGCUGGUCCAGAACAGAUUCCACAAACUGAACUGCAAGUAUUAGUAGAAUAUUUUAUGUAUUAGUGGAGAAGUAUUUCUCUUUAUCAGAAGUUUUGAAGAGCUGUUUUUGGGGGUGAGGUUGGUAAUUAACUUAUUAUUAUUAUUAUGGAACGUAACUUUUUUUUAAAUAAAAUAACAUAUAUUAUCGAUAACCCUUGUUCUAAGUUGGUCAAAGUCCUUCUAACAUCGAUCUUGCUUCAAUUUUAAGUACUUCAUAUUUUCUUAAUGUCAUUGACUAACCACAUAACUAAUUACUAUUAGCAUCUUUAAUGAUUUCUUCAAUUACAACCGAAAUUGCACCAUCUGUAUUAAGCUUAACUAAAUCACUUUUUGAAGCUAAUCAUUUUGAAUCAAAAGCCAUAGAAUUCGAAUGGAACAUAGUCAUUGAGGGUGACGAAUAACUUCUCGUCUAACUAAUACCUGUAUCUACCUCAUCCUGAACAGAGCUAUGACUAUCAAAAAGUACAAACAUAUCCCUAUUUUUUUAUAAUAACCAACAUAUUUUUAUUGCUUAAUAGUAAUGUUUAUAUAUAAAAUAUAGAGUAAAUCAAAUUUAUUUUGCUAUCAAUAGAUGUUGAUUUAAUAAUGAAAAAUUCAUAACAAUUAUAAAAUAAUUUCUUCCAAUUAAAAAGCAAUUUUUAAAAAGGACUAAAAGAAAACUCGCUUGUUUUUUUUUUAUUCUUUUUAAGAAAGAAAAGGUUAGGUGUACACAAAAUUCCAAAAGCACAAUAGAUUUUCCACGUUGAAAACAAAAGCUGCUUUCAAUUUCCACAUUGGAUUCCACACAAAAUCGAUAAAGUAAAAUGGCAUGUGAAGAAAAAUUAUAAUCACUCACGUUAGUAGGCCAACCCUCAUAACAGUCAUUUCUCAUAACUGAUCUUAUAAGAGUGAGUUUAGAUGGGCGGUGCGUCUAUUUAUUAUUAGUGUAAAAAUAACGGUGGCGAUGAGAUUAAAUACUAUAGCAACAUUAUAGCGUGAGACAAAAAGUAGGUCAAACGCACCGUACCGCACCUAAUCGCCCAUCCAAACCCACCUUAAGACAAAAAAAAAGGGUUAAUUACUCGGGUAAAUUAUACUUAAGGUCACUAAAUUGUUAAUAAAUUUAUGUUUUGAUCAUUUAACUUUAAAAGUUUUAAAAUGAUUAUUGAACUAUUUGAAAGUUUUUAUUUUAGUCACUGAUCUAUUCAACAAUUUUAUUUAAGUCAUUAAACUAUUAGUUUUUUUUAAAAGUCUGAUUAGCUAGGUUAAAGUGACAAUUCGAUGAAUAGUACAAUAGAUCAGUACUUAUCCACGAGUAGAAUAACAUAUACUAGAUCAAGUCAAUUUGAUAGUUGGUGCCGAAGAACGGAAAGCAAAACUAUUUAAAUUUGGAUUCGUAGAUACGUGACAUUUGAAAUUGUUUUAUUAAAAAAAAACUUAAACUAUAGACAAGCAGGGGUAGAAGAGUUAGCGGGCAAACAAUGAAGGACAUAUAGUAGUGAUUUUAACAACUUAAUGACUUAAAGAAAACUUUUGAAUAAUUUAGUGACAAUUUUGUAACUUUUUAAUGUUAAAUGACUAAAACGUAAACUUACUAGUAGUUUAAUGACCUUGAAUGUAGUUUACUCCAAUUAUUUAUUAUUUUUACUGUGUUGUUUUUUAUGCAUUACCUAAAUUACCCAUCAAUAAACUUCACAAUUCCAAAAAGUGAAGGAUAGUACGCGUUUAUUAACGUUCAAACCCAUGUCCUUCAAUUCUUUUUUGCCCGGCCAAUAUAAAAUUUUAUCCAGAACGAAAGGACGACUUGGAAAACAACAGUACAAAGAAUGUUGAGAGAAAAUAACACAAUCACGAAUUUUUUUUAAUUUUAAUGGUGAAAAAGAGGGUUUUAAGAAGAGAAAUUUAUUUAUUUGAGGGAGUUCCAUAUAUAAUUUAAAUUUAGAAUUUCAAAAUUCAUAACAACUCAAUCUUAUCCGUGAAAAAAAAGUUGUGCAAUAAUUUUUACUUGGUUUGUUCCUACAAUAGUUAUAUUAGAGUUUAUCACGUAUGGAUCUGUGUUUGUUCUUCUUUUAGGGUGAGUUUAGAUGGACAGUAAAGUGCGGUGUAGCGGUGCAAUACGUUUAGUUUUUUUUUUUCUCACGUUAUAGUCUCGCUACAGUAUCUAAUCUCACUGCCAUUGCUAUUAUUACACUAACCGCAGGUAAAUGCACCGCCCAUCCAAACUCACCCUUAGUUUAUCACAUAUGCUCGUCCCUUUCCUUUCCCUUUUAUAGAUAGUACGAGGUGUUAUUGGUUCGAAUUGAGUUUAUAUUUAUUUAAAAUUGAUCCAGUUUAAAAACUUAUUUGCAUAUGUUAGUCUAUUUUAAACCUGUAAUUUUUAAAUAUAUAUUAUUCUUAAUUUAAUAUUUAAUAUUUCUAAUAAUAUUUUUUAUUAAAAUUGAAAUUUAUCAAUAUUUUUAUGUUUAAAUAAAAUUUAUAUAAAAGUCUAAAGUGGGUUGGGUUUAGAGGUGAUCAUGGGUUGGGCUACCCGGCCCGGCCCGAAGGUCUGCUCGAAAAAUAGGAGGGUUCGAGUAAAAAUAUAGGCCCGAAAUAUGAGUUUGGGCAAAAAAAGAGGCCCGUUUAGAAAACGGGUCAGGCCUCAGGUAAAACUAUUUUGGCCCGGGCCCGAAUCAUAUAUUAAAUAUAUAUAUAUUUUUAUUUUUAAUCAAAAAUACCUCUAAUUCUGGUUGGUUGAUUAUAUUUUGCAGGUUUUUGAUCUAUUUUGGUGUUGUAAAAUUUAAUAUGGGUUGGGCCAGGCCCGGUCCAUGAUCACCUCUAGUUAGGUUAGGUUUGAGAAAGUUGAAGCUUAACCAGAAUCUUUUUUUUUUUACUUUAGUCCAUUUUUCAGAUCUUAUUUUUUUUUUCUUUUGAGAAAUAAAAAAUAGAUGCCAUUAAACUUGAAAAUUAGAUACAACCUCUGCAUGGGUACCACUCAUCCUACUCUCCUACAUCCGUUAAUCGAUGGAGUAGUUCUUAAUUAAUGCAAAAGUUGCCUAAAAGAAACAAAGAGAAUAUAAAAGAAUCAAACCCUAAAAAUCAACUACAUGCUAAUUUUUAGAAAAAAAAAAACCUAUCAAUUUCUCCUUUAGCAAUCCACUCUUUCAUCUACCACAAUUGUGCCACCUUGAAAUGAUCUAUACUUUUAGUAUCCUUGAUGGAAAUUCUUGUAGAGAAAAGAAAUCGUUUUAUUCGUUUUUUUAUAUAUAAGAUGGACCUUUGAGCUUAAAUAAAUAAUUGAGAGGCUUUUUUUUAUAAAAAUAAUUCAAAGAUUUUGGUUAUUUAUGAAAUAAUUCAUUUUUUUAUUAAAUAUGUAAAUGAUAUAAAACCUACAGUAAAAGUUGGUGGAGUCAAAGAGUUUGGCGUCACCAACAUACCACGUCAGCAAUCGGGAUAAAAAAAUUUAUUUUUUUAGUAGAACCAUGUAGAGUAACAUCACCUGUAUAAAUACUAAAAAAAUACCGCUAUGUUUGAAAAAUUGGGGUACCUUAAAAGAAAAAACUUUUUUUCUGGUGAAGCUAAAUAAUUUUACGCUACCAAUUUCUAAAAUUACCUGCGUCAUCCAUUUUUAAAAUGUAGUUAUAUAUUUUAUGUCAUUUAUGUAUUUAAUAAAAAUAAGUAAUCGAAUUUUUUUUGAUUAUUUUUAUAAAAAAAGCCUUAAUAGAUAAUUCAUCAAUUACCCAAUCAAUCAAACUAUUAAUCAAACAAGACAGGUUUUAGCUUCACUCGGAAAAGCCACAGUCCACUCCCGUAGAGCAGCCAAAACAUAUUUAAUUAUUCAAAAGCCGUGUGCCGUUCGACUAAAACAAAAUUCCAAAUCAAGAAGCAAUUUUUUAAAAUAAAAACAAAAUUGCUUUUAGAAAAAGCUUUAGGUGGACACAAAAUUCCAAAAGCGCCAACACAUUUUCCACACAUUGGGAAUAAAACUUGUUUGCAAUUCAUAAUUGAUAGGAUACGACCAAAAGAAAAUAAAGAUAAUUAUUUGGAUAAAUUAUACUCAACCUCACUAAACUAUUAACAAAUUUAUAUUUUAAUUAUUUAACUUUAAAAAAUUAUAAGAUAAUUAUUAAACUAUUCAAUAGUUUUUAUUUAAGUCAUUGAACUAUUAAGGUUUUUUUUUAAAAAGUAGUUUGACUAGCUAGGUUCAAGCAACAAUUCAAUGAACAGUACAAUAGAUCAAUACUCAUUAACGAGUAUGUCGAAACCGCCUUUUCGAAAAUAAAAAUUUAGUUGUCGACUUUAAAAAUAAAAACUGAAGUUGCCACCGAUCCUUGAUUGAGGUGCGAUCGGUUCACCUUAAAAACAAUUUCGGCCUGCGAAAUUUGAGAAAACAAGUUCGGGAGUCAGUUACGCACGAGGAAGAGUUAGCACCCUUGUAACGCCCAAAAUCGGUACCAAAUUGAUUAUUUAAUAUCUUGGUGUCGAAAAUUUAAAAAGAUUUUAAAAUCAACUCAAAUGAUGAAAUUUGAAAAAGGAUAAUCAAUUGUUCAAGUCAUGUAAAGAAAUCGAGUCCCAAUACGUUAGGGUACAAUUCCUCAUAAUCCCCGAACUUUGAAUAUCACUUUUAUUUUAUGUAAAAAUCUUCAUUUUGAGAAAGUAAUAUGUCACACCCAAUACGUUAGGACACAACAAAUUAAGUUCCCGAAAAUAAUUUUUUAUACUCAUGCAUUUUGAAUAAAGAAUAUUCUCAGCUAUUUAAGAUAAACAAAGAAAAUCGGAACCCAAUACGUUAGGACUCAAUUUCCUAGAAAAUCCCAAACUUUGAAUAUUCCUUUAUUUAGGAAAAAAAACUUUGAAUCACGGGUAAAACUUUGAUGUAUUGUCAAAUCCAAAAUAUAUUUUCUAAAGGAUAUGUUAAAAAGUUGAUGUACAAUAUGAAACAAAACUUUAGUUUAAAAACAUAUGUGAAUAAAUAUCUGCAAAAUAUAUACAUACAAGUACAAUAUACAAGUAAAUUUGCAAAUGUGUGUACACAUAUAUUUAACACACAUAUACAAGGAUACCUAUAAAAAAUGGAAUGGAAUAUAUCAAUCAAAGACUAAUAAAAAAAUGCAUGUAUGUAUUUAAAAAUCGAAAAUAAACAAAAAGUAUGUAUAUGUAUAUGUAUAUAUAUUUACAAAAUAAAAAUGUAUAAGUAUAUAUGUGUUGGAAAAUCAUGAAAAUACGUAUAUGUAUAUUAAAACACUUAUAUAUAUAUAUGUAUAAUAAGUAUAUAAAUAAUGGGAUAUGUAUAGGAUAAUAUAUAUUUAUAAAAAAUGUGUAUUUUGAAUCGUAAAAUAUGGGAAACACGUGCAUUUUGAAAGGGAACGUUUGAAACAAAAAGAAUCAACAGAGGUAGAAAAAAACUAGCAGCAACAAAACUAAUGUGAAAACAAAAGAAGAGUGGAAAAGAUGGGAAAGUGGGGAAGUUGGACAUAUGGGAUGGAGAGACGUGGGAGAAUUUUGGAGAAAUAUUUUUAAUUAAUUUUUUCUUAAAAAAAUAUUAUCCUAACCAACAUAAUUUUUUUGAUAACCUAUCAAUUUAUUCAUAAUUCGAAUUUAACUAAACCGCUAACACAUGGGCAGCACACUUAGGGAGUUCCAAAAUUAAUUUUUGCUUUACAGGGAUUCAAACACGAGAUCUCUAAGCAAGCUGAAACUUUAUUAUUAAACUAGUAAAUUCAUUCUUAUUAAUAAUUAAGCAAAAAAUAUAUAUAAUUUAAAUAUUCAAGGAUAGGGGAUGGAACAAAAAUAAAAAAUUAAAAAAAAAAAGAUUUGCCUUAACUUUUGUUUCAUCAGUAGGCUUGUCUCAUAUCAGAGGAAAACUGCUUACAAAUGUGAGGCUAAGAUUUUUACGUUUCAGAAACAUGUAUAUAAAUGCUUCUCGGUUGGUCGAAAAUGAAGCAUAUAACACGGUUAUCUUAGUACAUAGAGUUCCCUGAAUUUACUACAUUUCGAUUUGUGUAACCUUAUUACAAAAACAAGUCUUCAAUAUGAGUCCCUACUUUGUUGUUAUUGUUUAUAGGAAGAAUAAAUUAUGUGAAACUCAACUUUCUUAAGCACCCUAACUUUUGUGAAUUUAGAUUAAAAGGGAGUUUAGUUCACAAAAUGUUUGAUUAACCUGACAAUUAGUGCAUUACUAGAUAUGUUACAGUACCGCGUUUGGUUCAAGGUAAAAGUUGAAAUAAUUCUAGACUCAAAGAUAUUUGAUUAUGGGUUUGUUCUUAGUAUAUAGUAAAUGAGUAAAAAGUUUUGAUUAAAAAAACUUUAUGGAAUUAUUAAUAUCAUUAAUUAAACAGUUAAAAAUUUUAAAAUGAUUAAUGUCGACUCUUUUUAUAAAAUAUUCGGGUGGGGAUUAGUAUAAAUCUGUUAAAAAAUUUUAAUCAUCAUUCCACAUAAGCCAAGAUUAGUAUAAAUCUGUUUUAUACAUUUUGUUAUAAGAAAUCGUACAUAUUUUUGUUAUGUCAUAUAAAAGUAUACAUGUUAUAUGUUUUGAUUGACAUUGUAUCAUCUAAUUUUUAAUAGAAAUAGUGAGUUUAAAAUUUAAAGGGGUUAUUUUACUAUUUAAAUAAUGAAUUUAACCAUUUAACAUCUAUUGAGUUAUUUAGAAUUUCUUUCUUCGGUUUAAAUUGAUUAAUUUCAAUCAAAUAGAUGCAAAUGAAGAACCAAUUAAUAAGAAGAUAAAAUUUUGAAAAAAUAAGCAAAUUGGGAGGCCGGAAGCCAGCAUUAGAUAUAUAGCAAACAAUCACUUCAUUCAAAGCUCAUACUAUAUGGCAAUCCAAUUCUUAUAAAAAAUACAUACACACACUUAAUGAAAUUAGAUAUCUGGGCAAAGUGCAUUCCAUAGCUGAUUUGGUAAACCUACAUCAAGAAAAAAAAUGGUAUGUAUAUAUCAUCAUCUCUUAUGUAUAAUAAUUAAAAAUAUGAAAUCAUAAAAUGAUAUUAAAAAUUUAGUUUUUCUAGAAAUAUAUUCAAAAUUCUUAUUUUUUUUAUAUUUUAAUUAUAAUUUUUAUGGUAAUUAAAGAUAUAUUCUUCUAUUCCGUUAUUUUAUCAAUAUUAUAUCAAUCUCUAACUCUAUGGGUGAAAAAGAAAAGAAAAAAGAAUGUAAAAAUUAUUAUUUUAUAGAAAUAAAUACCUCACGUGAUGUUGGCUCCUAUUAUUUUGGAAUAAAUAAUGUGGAUAGAGGGAAUGUGGCGCACUUUAUAGAAUUCCUCUCCUUCUCUUCCAUCUAUCCCUUUAAUCCUUUCUUCCAACGACGAAGACAUUCCUCUUAAAUUCAAUUCUUGGAGAGUAGUAAUGUAGCUCAAUCCUUCUGGAAGCAUCCUUAAACUCUUAAUAUAGACCAACUCCAAUUCUCGAAGGCAUGGCAUUGCACCUUCUUCUAUUACCCACUCCUUCAACUGAGGUAAGCACCACAUAUGAAGAUAAUCAAGUUUAGGAAAUCCAUUUGCAGAGCACACCAUUUUACUCCCAAUAUAUGCGUCCUUCAAAUAGAGAAUCCUCAAAUGACAUAGCUUUUCUAAUACCGCAAUUGGAUCUUGUAUGAGCUUACAGUAAAACAAAGUUAAUUUGACAAUAUUUGAUGGAAGAAAGUUCAAAACAUGACCGUUCGGAUGUGGCUCAUCUUCUAUCCCACCCACUAGUUUCAGUUUGGAGAGGUGAUAAUAUUGAGAAAGGGGUUCUAAGUCUAGGUGUGAGACAUCAAAAAAACAUAAGGAUACUGACCUAAGGCGUUGCAAUUUGGCUAGCAAGAUUAGGGUAGGCUUCACAUAUUCUGCUCCGGUAAAUGCUAUUCCUAAACUCUGAAUAUUAGUCCACCUAAGCACCGCAUUAUUUUCAGCCGCCUUCUCAUCCACCUCUAUGAACUUCAAAGUUUCAAUAUUUUUUGAACUGAACCCUUGCCGCCAACGAAAUCCAUUUUCGGACAAUAGCUCAUUAUCCAUUUUUAUUACAAUAUGCCUUAAACGUUCUAACUUAAACACACCAUCUGGAAUUACAAUGUCAUCACAAAACUUGAUGUAUAAAGUGUACAGAUUCUUCAACCUGCCAAUAGAUCCAGGCAAAAUCACUUUGUUGUUGUAGUAAAACUUCAAGUAUCUCAAAUGUUGGAGAUUACCAAUUUCAGUCGACACAUGCCACCCGUAGUUGCUCCUUUUUGCAAGAGUCAACACCCUUAAAAAUUUGAAGCUUUUGUAUUUUGAAAUGCACAAUUCUACCAAUUUCUCGGAAUGAGAAAACAACAAAGAGCGUAAUUUUGGAUGCUUUCCCUUCAAAUAAACUUUCGAUUUACUAGGAUGAAUAGAAAUCCUUCGUAGCAUAGAUUCUGCCAAUGUCACUUCAAGUUCAUGCAGUGGUUGUUGAAUAAUUUCCAAGAACUUCUCUUCUCUUGCUUUCUUCAUGCACAAGUCCCUCAAGAGAUCAUGCACUCGACAUGUCUUCACAUUUGUUCCUGUAUAGUCUCGCCUGCUAACUUGAACCAAGCUCCUAUCUAUAAGCUCUUCUAGGAAUUUUUCCCCUAAAUCCUCCAUCAAGAAUUCUUCGUUUUCCGGAAUGAAACCUUCAGCGAUCCAUAAACGAAUGAGUUCUUUUUUCGGUAUCUCCCAAUCUUCUGGAUAAUGACUAAGAUACAAAAAGCAGGGUUUUAAAGGAUAAGGCAAGUCAUUGUAGCUUGAAACCAAAAUUCGGUUCACUGCACCAUAUUGACGAUCUUGGUGUGGGAGCUCAUUUAAGUGUCCAUGGAUGUUUUUAUGAACCAUCUCCCACUGAGCCACUGACUGUUUUGUUGCCAGCAAGCAACCCAACACAACAAUUGCUAAAGGCAAGCCUCCACAUUUUUUCACCAUCUCUUUUCCAAGCUUCACAAAUUCUUCUGAGCAGCAUUGAGAACCCAUUUUGCUCCGUGGGAAUGCUUUCUUACACAGAAGAUUCCAACUUUCAUCAUCCGUAAGAAAUGAGAGCUCGAUGGGAGUGUUGCAAGAAUCGGCUCGUGAAGCCACAUUCCUGUUGCGUGUUGUGAACAAUAUUUUGCUUCCCUUUCUUCCUCGUGGAAAAGCAGGUUUAAGAAUAUCCCAAUCCUCGCUUCUCCAAAUAUCAUCGAGGACCACCAAAUACCGCUUUUCUUUCAAAGCAUCAAAAAGCGUUCUCGUCAGCUCAAUCUCGUCCAUUUUCUCAAUUUUCUCCCUAUCAUUGUUAGAAGGAGAGAGAACUUUCUUCAAGACACUAAGCAAAACCUCUCUCGGCUUACAUUGUUGAGAGAUAGAAAACCAAGCCAAGAAAUCAAAAUGGCGUCUCACAUCAACAUGAUUAUAUACUUUUCUGGCAAGAGUAGUCUUACGGAGGCCCCCCAUGCCGACUAUGGAAACUACGGCGUGGGGUCUAUCUUCUUCAGUCAUCAAUUUGGUCAUGACAUCCUUGGUGCUAACCUCCAAGCUAACAACGUCCUCUUCCUCGACAUGUGAGUAUGCCCUUCUUAACCGUUGCUGCACCUUGAAAAUUGAGCUAGAGCCUUCUCCAUCACCGGGUAUCUCAAAAGCUGGAAGAUUCUCGGAAAUGUUUUGGAGCUCGGUCUUGAUUGCUUUGACCUGCACCCCGAUUUUGUGCAGAUGAUAAGGUUUGGUGAAAAUGGAGGUGAACCUCUUGACAAUCCCAUGAGAAUCUCGUUGAUAUGCUGCUUUAAGAAUAAAAGAGUCGAUGACAUCUUCAGCAUCAUAAGCAAGAUCUCUGAUUUCCGACACCCGAUUCUGUAAACGCGCAUCUUGUUCAAGAUUGCGAUCCGCGUCCUUCAAGAAACACUGCGUUCGCUUCAGUUCAGCCCUUAGGCUCUCAACUUGAUCUUUCACAUCUUUGAGGAAAACAGCUUCAUGGAUGAGUAAAUCUGAAAUUCUUUCAACAGCUAAGGACACAAUAGCCUCUUCCAUUUCUCCUGCUCGUCCAGAACAGAUUCCACAAACUGAUCUGCAAGUAUUAGUAGAUUAUUUUAUGUAUUAGUGGUGGAAGUAUUUCUCUUCAUCAGAAGUUUUGGAGAUUUAUUUUUGGGGGUGAGGUUGAUAGUUAUUUUUCUUUGGACAGUAAAUAGCUGAACAUAUUAUUAUUAUGAUUAUUAUUAUUAUUAUUAUUAUUAAUGUGAAGAAAACGUAAGGUAAAGUUAUCAUCACUGACAUUAUAAAAUUAUUAUAAAAUUAAUAGGCCAACCUCAAUUCAAUUCUUCCAAAAAAAUAUUAUUCAAAUAUUCAAAAGUUUUUAUUUAAGUUACUAAAUUAUUUAAAAAAUUUUAUUUAAAUAAUUGAACUAUUAAGUCUGUUGACACCAUUUUUUUGAUGAAAACGGGGUCAACUUGGGUUUUAAAAAGUGAAAAUGAAAACGGGAAUCGCCACAAAUCCUUUUUGAUAAGGUGUGAUCCGGUCACCUUGAAAAGUGGUUGUAUUUAAUAAACGAUUUGACUUUAUUAAAACAACGAUUUUGGUCCACAAAAUUUAGAAAAACAGGUUUGAGAGUCGGUUAUGCACGAGGAAAUAUUAGCACCCUCGAUACGCCCAAAAUUGGUACCUAGUUGAUUACUUAUGUCUUAGUGUCGAAAAAUUGAAAACUUUAAAGAGAUUUAAAAUACGAUCCUAAAAAACUUGAAUGACAUGGAUUAAGAUUUAAGAGUAUAUUUGGCUAUUUGGUCCAACGAGAAAUCGAAACCCAGCACAUUAGGGCACGUUUUCUCGAAGUUCCAAACGCAAAACAUUGCCUUAUUUUGAAAUUAUUAAAAGGAUAUUUGGAUAUUUGGUCAAACGAGAAAAUCGAAACCCAACACAUUAGGGCACAUUUUCUCAAAUCUCCAAGCGCAAAACAUUACCUUACUUUGAAAAUUUAAAAGGAUAUUUAGCUAUUUGGUCGAACGAAAAAAGUCGAAACCCAGCACAUUAGGGCACGUUUCUCAAAUCUCCAAACGCAAAAUAUUACCUUACUUUGAAAAUUUAAAAGGAUAUUUAGCUAUUUGGUCGAACGAAAAAAAUCGAAACCCAGCACAUUAGGGCACGUUUUCUCAAAUCUCCAAACUCAAAAUAUUACCUUACUUUGAAAAUUUAAAAGGAUAUUUAGCUAUUUGGUCGAACGAAAAAAAUCGAAACCCAGCACAUUAGGGCACGUUGUCUCGAAUUUCCAAAUGCAAAACAUUGCCUUUAUUAUUUUUUAGAAAAAUCCUCAUCCCGAGAAAACAACGUGUCAUAUCCAAUGCGUUAGGACACAACGUAUUGAAUUCCCGAUAAUGAGCUUUUUAUUUAUGUUUUUAAAAGAGUAACCUCGAUUAUUUAGAUUCAACGAAGAAAAUCAGAACCCAAUACGUUGGGGCUCGAUUCUCUCGAAGAUCCCAAAUAUCGAGUAUUACUUAUGUUUUGAAGUUUUUCAUUUUUUUGUCAAACCCGAGUGAAAAUGGAUGUAAAACCAUGAUAAUGAUGAUAAUGUAAAUAAAUAACACGAGCGAAACAAAAGAUAAUUAAAUAAUAAAUGUAAAAACAAUUGUGCAGGCAUAAUAGCAAAUAAUAAACAGAUAAAAACUAAAGCAUGAAAAAAUAAUAGUAACGGACAUGUAAAUAAUUGAGCAAAGUUAACAACAUUAUAAAAAUAUAAAAGAUAUAUAUAUACAUAUAAAAUUAUGAAAAUAUGAAAAACAUAUGCAUGUAUACAUAUUUUAAAAUUAUUAUACAUGAAAAAUUAUGUAAAUAUGUAUGUGCAUACAUACAUACGUAUAUAACAAUUAUCAACUAUAAGAAAGUAUAUAUAUAUAUAGGUACGUACAUAUAUAUAAUAAAUAUAUAUAUACAUAUGGUUACAAAAAUAAGAAUAAGACAUGUAUAUAUAUACUCCAGGUUUAUAAAAUAUAAGAGUAUGUAAAUAUGUAUAUAUAUGCGUAUGAAAAUAAAGCUAACAGAACAGUAAUAGAAACUAGUUAAUGUAUUAAUAAAAUUGUAACGACUAAAUGAAAGGGAAAUAAAACUAAUAAAAAUUGAUGAUAAUAAUAAUAAUAAAUGAUAAUAACAUUAAAAUAAUGAACAAAAUAAUAAAAUUGCUACAAAAGGGACUAAAUUGAAAUGAAACAAAAAAACAGGGCGAAUUCGAAAUAAAAAGACUAAAAAGACUAAAUUGUGACACGCGCGGAAAGAGGGGGACCAAAAUGGUAAAUAAACCAAACCUCCAAAAAUGCGGCACUGCAGUGGACUAAAAUGAGACCAAAAUAAAACUUUGUGGCUAAAUUAAAAUAAAAAAAAUAAUGAAAAAGGGUCAAAUUGCAACGCGCUGCAAAGUUGGAAGGACUGCGCGCGGAAAUAUCCCAUUUGAAAAAAACGUGGAUCCUUGGCAGAGCGGGUCGGGUCUCGAGUCGGAUGGUACAAAACGAUGCCGUUUUGGCGUUUUAAAGGGCUGAGCAAAACGACGUCGUUUUGCUCCCCUAUUUAAACUAAUUUUUUUCAAAAAAAUUCAUUCUUCUCUCUUCUUGGCAAAAAAAAAAAAUCUCAAACACUCUCAACUCCCCUCCCCCUCUCCAGGCACCGGCCUCAGGUCCGGUGAAAGGAUCGUCGUCUGUCGCCGGCGAAGGGGCAAAAGAGUUUUUUUUUUAUUAAUGCAGGCGGUGUGAGCAAUGAAUGCCAUGUAACAUUGAUUUUAACAACUCAAUAACUUAAAUAAAAAUAUUCAAUAGUUUAGUGGUCAUUUUGUAAUUUUUUGAAGUUAAUUGACCAAAACGUAAACUUACUAGUAGUUCAGUGACCUUUGGAAUAGUUUACUCCAAUUAUUUAUUAUUUUCUGUGUUAUUUUUAUACAAUACCUGAAUUACCCAUAAAUAAACUUCACAAUUUUUAAAGUGGAAGAUAUUAGGCUAUUCUUUUUACUCAGCCAAUAUAAAAUUUUAUCAAGAAUGAAAGGACCACUUAGAAAAAUUUGAGAGAAAAUUGAUGAGUGAAAGAAAAUAAAACAAGCAGGGAUGUUUGAGUUUUAAUGGUGAUUUUCUUAAGAAGAGAAAUUUAUUUAUUUGAGGAGGAUAGAUACAUAAUUUACAUAAAAUAAGAUUCAAACUUAAACUUAAAAUUUCAAAAUUUAUAAAAUUAUUUUAAAAUUUACAUAAAAUAAGAUUCAAUUCAAUUCUUCCAAAUUAGUAUAAAAUUACAAAAUAUUUAAUCAUUCAAAGGCAAUUUUUAAAAUAAAAAAGCAAAAUUGCUUUAAAAAAAUGCUUUAGGUGGACACAAAAAGCAAUGGGUGUCAAAAUUCCAAAAGCGUCAACUGAUUUUCCACACAUUGGAAGUAAAAGUUGUUUGCAAUUUCAUUUCGUCCAAAUGACAACUACUUGAACACCCAGCAGUCGUUGCUCAUAAUUGAUAGGAUAAGACCAAAAGAAAAAAAAAUAAUUGUUUGGAUAAAUUAUACUCAAGUUCAUUAAACUAUUAAUAAAUUUAUAUUUUAAAUAUUUAAUUUAGAAAAAUUAUAGUUAUUAAACUAUUCAAUAGUUUUCUUUUAAGUCAUUAAACUAUUUAGAAGUUUUUGUUUAAGUCAUUGAACUAUUAAGUUCUUUUUUUUUAAAAAAAAGAGGCAGUUUGGCUAGCGAGGUUCAAGCGACAAUUUGAUGAACAGUACUAUGAAUCAAUACUCAUCAACGAAUAAAAGAACAUAUAUUAGAUCAUGUCAAUCUAAUGGUCGGUAUCCAAGAACAGAGGAGAGCUGUUUGGAUUUUAACACUGUUAUCUUAGUACAUAGAGUUUCCUGAAUUUACUACAUUUUGAUUUGUGUAACCUUAUUAAAACAAGUCUUCAAUAGAAAGUUGAGUCGCUACUUUGUUCUUAUUGUUUAUAGGAGGAAUAAAUUUCUUAAGCACACAAACUUUUGUGAAUUUAGAUUAAAAAGGGAGUUUAGUUCACAAAAUGUUUGAUUAACCCGACAAUUAGCGCAUUACUAGAUAUGUUACAGUACCGUGUUUGGUUCAAGAUAAAGUUGAAAUAAUUCUAGACUCAAAGAUAUUUAAUUAUUGGUUUGUUCUUAGUAAAUAGUAAAUGAGUAAAAAGUAUUUAAUACUUUAUGAUGAUUUUGACUAAAAAAACUUUAUGGAAUGAUUAAUAUCAUUGAUUAAACGGUUAAAAGUUUCAAAAUAAUUAAUGUCGACUCUUUUUAUAAAAUAUUCGGGUGGGAUGGGCGUCUUAUAGUUUGAACUUGUGUCAAAUGGGUACCUGAUAAAAAAUUUAAUCAUCACUCCAUAUAAGUCAAGAUUAAUAUAACUCUUUUUUAUAAAUUUUGUUACAAGAAAUCGUACAUAUUUUUGUCAUGUCAUAUAAAAGUAUACAUGUUAUAUGUUUUUGUAUCAUCUUACUUUUAAUUGAAAUAGUGAGUUGUAAAUUUAAAGGGGUUGUUUUACAAUUUAAAUAAUGAAUUUAACCAUUUAACAUCUAAUGAGUUAUUUAGAAUUUCUUUCUUUGAUUUAAAUUAGAUUAAUUUCAAUCAAAUAGAUGCAAAUGAAAAAACCAAUUAAUAAGAAGAUAAAUUUUUAGAAAAAUAAGCAAAUUGGGAGGCCAGAAGCGAGCAUUAGAUAUAUAACAAACAAUCACUUCAGUCAAAGCUCAUAGUAUAUAGCAAUCCAAUUCUUAUAAAAAAUACAUACACACACUUAAUGAAAUUAGAUAUCUCGGCAAAGUGCAUUCCAGUUGAUAAACUAUAAAAGUAACAUAUUUUAAUCCCAUUCUUAAUGUGUUGGAUGAUUUAUUAUUUAAUUUAGUGAAUUUGAUGCUCCUAAUCAUUUAAUUUCAUGUUUCUAUACUUAUGUGAGCAUAGGGGAACAAAAGGAGCGGAAAACGGGCCAAAAACGAACAAAACAGACCGAUUUAAGGAUCCACAUGGCUAAGACCAUUUCUGCACGGGCUGACCACACGCCCGUGUGUGCCACACGGGCUUGCCACACGCCCAUGUGCCAGCCCGUGUCGAAUUUGCUCCUUAUUUCCCAAACACGCAGAAAAUGCCAAUUUUUAGGGUUUCUAAGCAUUCUAAAGUCUAUAAAUACACACUAGAAGAGGACCUAAGGGGCACGCAAAGCUGAACGAAGAAAAGACUUGAAGAAUGCUAGUGGGUUCAACUCAGAAGUAGGAUCUCCUUCAAGACUGAAGAUCUCCAUUCAAUUUCUCUCGAAGUUUUUGGGUUUCUUUAUGUUUUCUUGUUUUCCUAAUUUUGAGAUGUUUUCCUCCCCAAGUAUGAACUAAAUUCCCUAGACAUCUAGGGAGGAUGAAACCUAAGGCUGAACUUAUUAUUUGAUUUUUCUGAAUUACAUGAUAAAUAUUUGUCCUUGAUCUCAAUUAUGUGUUCUUAUUUCAUGUUUUAAUGUUUUCAAGAUAUUAGUUCAUGAUUGGUGUGCUUAUUCAGUGGAGCAAAAGUCCCUAUUUAAGAGUAGAUCUAGCAUAAUUGAAUAGAGUUGCAUGCAAUCCUAGAAAUAGGACGACAUAAACCUAUCGAAUUAGAGUCAAAUCUAAUAGGAGAAUCCAUAGAUCGGAUUAGAGUCAAACCUAAUAGGAGAAUCCAUAGAUCGAGUUAAUACGAUAAUAGGGGUUUUAAUUAGAAAGAGAUUUCAAUUAAUCAACAUAGAGUUAGUUGUUUUUAUUCUCGAAACAGAUAUUAACAAAAGUUAGGGAUUUCUACAGAUCAAGACAAGUGAAUAAAUCGUUUAAUUCAGAUUUAGAAUAAUAAAAUAUUCGGGUGGGAUGGGCGUCUUAUAGUUUGAACUUGUGUCAAAUGAGUACCUGAUAAAAAAUUUAAUCAUCACUCCAUAUAAGUCAAUAUUAGUAUAACUCUGUUUUAUACAUUUUGUUACAAGAAAUCGUACAUAUUUUUGUCAUGUCAUAUAAAAGUAUACAUGUUAUAUGUCUUUUUAUAAAAUAUAUGGUAUUUAAUACUUUAUAAUGAUUUUGAUUAAAAAAACUUUAUGGAAUGAUUAAUAUCAUUGAUUAAACGGUUAAAAGUUUCAAAAUGAUUAAUGUUGACUCUUUUUAUAUAAUAUUCGGGUGGGGAUGGGAGUCAUAUAGUUUGAACUUGUGUUAAAUGGGUACUUGAUAAAAAAGUUUAAUCAUCAUUCCACAUAAGCCAAGAUUAGUAUAAAUCUGUUUUAUACAUUUUGUUAUAAGAAAUCGUACAUAUUUUUGUUAUGUCAUAUAAAAGUAUACAUGUUAUAUAUUUUGAUUGACAUUGAAUCAUCUAAUUUUUAAUAGAAAUAGUGAGUUGUAAAUUUAAAGGGGUUAUUUUACUACUUAAAUAAUGAAUUUAACCAUUUAACAUCUAAUGAGUUACUUAGAAUUUCUUUCUUUGUUUUAUAUUGAUUAAUUUCAAUCAAAUAGAUGUAAAUGACCAAUUAAUAAGAAGAUAAAUUUUUGAAAAAAUAAGCAAAUUGGGAGGCCGGAAGCCAGCAUUAGAUAUAUAGCAAACACACAAUGAAAUUAGAUGUCUCGGCAAAGUGCAUUCCAGCGCUGAUUAGGUAAACCUACAUCAAGAAAAAAAAUGGUAUGUAUAUAUCAUCAUCUCUCAUGUAUAAUAAUUAAAAAUAUGAAAUAAUAAAAUGAUAUUAAAAAUUUAGUUUUUCUAGAAAAAUAUUCAAAAUUCUUAUUUUUUUAUAUUUUAAUUAUAAUUUUUAUGGUAAUUGAAGAUAUAUUCUUCUAUUAUGUUAUUUUAUCAAUAUUAUAUCAAUCUCUAACUCUAUGGGUGAAAAAGAAAAGAAAAAAGAAUGUAAAAAUUAUUAUUUUAUAGAAAUAAAUACCUCACGUGAUGUUGGCCCUUGGGAUCGGAUUAAUAAUGUGGAUGGAGGGAAUGUGGCGCACUUUAUAGAAAUCCUCUCCUUCUUUUCCAUCUAUCACUUCAAUCCUUUCUUUCAAUGACGAAGAUAUUCCUAACAUUAAAUUCAAUUCUUGGAGAGUAGUAAUGUACCUCAAUCCUUCUGGAAGCAUUCUUAAACUCUUAACAUGGAUCAACUCCAAUUCUCGAAGGCAUGGCAUUGCACCUUCUUCUAUUUCCCACUCCUCCAGCUUUCUUAAAAUCAUUCCAAGAAAAUCAAGUUUAGGAAAUCCAUUUGCAGAGCACACCAUUUUACUCCCAAUAUAUGCUCCCUCCAAAUAGAGAAUCCUCAAAUGACAUAGCUUUUCUAAUACCGCCAUUGGAUCUUGUCUCAGCUCAUUAUCAAAGUUAAUUUGACAAUAUUUGAUGGAAGAAAUUUCAAAACAUGACCGUUCGGAUGUGUCUCAUCUUCUAUCCGACCC